This 66667-nucleotide long non-coding RNA is filed under the name Setaria viridis. RNAcentral describes it as "long non-coding RNA (SVIR_LNC002901)". The record is from RNAcentral. Lineage: Eukaryota; Viridiplantae; Streptophyta; Magnoliopsida; Poales; Poaceae.
GGCAACAAGACGAUGAAGGAGCUGCUGGGCGGCAAGGGCGCGAACCUGGCGGAGAUGUCGAGCAUCGGGCUGUCGGUGCCGCCGGGGUUCACGGUGUCGACGGAGGCCUGCCAGCAGUACCAGGAGGCGGGGCGCUCCCUGCCGCAGGGCCUCUGGGACGAGAUCAUCGACGGCCUGGCGUGGGUGGAGGAGGAAAUGGGCGCCCGCCUCGGCGACCCGCAGCGCCCGCUCCUGCUCUCCGUCCGCUCCGGCGCCGCGGUAAUGCCAUGGCCAUGCCAUCCUUGUUCGUUUGGUUCAUUCGCCUGCUCGCUUCUGAUCGCUUUGCCUUUGUGUUAUGUGAUAUGCGCAGGUGUCGAUGCCCGGGAUGAUGGACACGGUGCUCAACCUGGGACUCAACGACGAGGUGGCCGCCGGGCUCGGCGCCAAGAGCGGCGAGCGCUUCGCCAACGACUCCUACCGCCGCUUCCUCGACAUGUUCGGCAACGUCGUGAGUAUCUCCUGCCCAUCUGUCCUAAUGACUCAUCAGCGCCUCGUCGGAUCGGAGACGAUCUCGCAUGUUAAGCUAGCUUGGUUGUUGAUCACUCUACUCGCUUACUUGUAUGACUAGCUAGCUUGGUAGGUAGCUUAGCUAGGCGGCCUAUGCCUAGUUGUGCGUGCAUCGACCCAUGAUCGCUUCCGCGGGUGACCCGCGUCCGUCCGAGACGACGGCGGCUGCGUCGCACGCUUGCGGCCGCCGCCGGGGGCCACCAGCGUCGGGGGUUUCGUCUGUUUUGCCAGGCAGGACGCAGGACGGUGGGAGAGUACUUGCAGCACAGUGCUGUGUUUUCUUGGGUUAACCGAACGUGUGGGGAUCAUUCGGCACGGUUAAGCCAGUGAACGUGCUCGAUGCCCCGGCGUUGGAGUUAACCAGUGAAGUGAUUGGGCCAAGCACCUUUGCUUUUUGCUGCCAAUAAUAGGCAAGGUCCAAAUCAGAGAAGCUUUUCUACCUUUUUUAUUUCUUCUUAAAAAGUAAAAAAAAUUUGCGGACCUAAAAAGAAUAAAAAAUAUUUUCCAACGCAAAUGGAGGAAGGAAGUUGACGGUUCAAGAAAGGAACACGGCGACGGCAUCGUUGUAUCAGGUAAGAGGAAUUCGCAGGUGUGUGCAUAUUCCCCUGCAGAAAUUUAACAUGGACGGAGCAGUAUAUACAAGGUCAUUGUCAGUGUUCAAGCUCAUGCUAGACAGCCCUGUACGGUAUGUCGGUUGUCGGAGGUACGCCUCGUUUGUGGGGCUGAAGGACCGAUGACGGCGGCGCCUGUCUUCACCAGCAGAGUUUGACACUCUUUCCACCCGGAAAAUGGGUACAAGACGAUGAGGAAAAGAAAGUUUCUUGAAACGCCAUAGAAAAAUAUUUUUUAAAAACAAUGAGCAUUUAAUAUGGUCAGUUGGGGGCUGAGGGGAGAAGGUUGGUUGGUUCAACCUGCACACACAAGUGAUGACAUCUGCUAUGGAGAUGCUCAACCAGAGUUGGUUUUGGUCAUCUGUAAUUAGUUUUUUCAAUGACACUUCUAACUAGAAUGCUCAAACAGAGUUUUGUUUGUACUAUAAGAUAAUUGUUCCUCAGCAGAGCCUUUCUUUACCACCAGGUCAUGGACAUUCCCCACGCACUGUUCGAGGAGAAGCUUGAAGCCAUGAAGGAAGCCAAGGGGGUGAAGAACGACAAUGACCUGACUGCCUCUGACCUCAAAGAGCUGGUGGCUCAGUACAAGGAGGUCUACGUCGAAGCCAAGGGGGAGCCAUUUCCCUCAGGUAUGCCCACCGCAGCCUCACCCUCAGUUGAUAAUAUCUGUAUGAAAAAAAAAAUUCUCUUGAAACUAAAGCUGUUUCUUUGCAUCAAACUUAUGCAUGCCUUUACCUUGUUUUGUCUUGCAGAUCCCAAGAAGCAGCUUGAGCUAGCAGUGUUGGCUGUGUUCAACUCGUGGGACAGCCCCAGGGCCAACAAGUACAGGAGCAUUAACCAGAUCACUGGUCUGAAAGGCACUGCUGUGAACGUGCAGUCCAUGGUGUUUGGCAACAUGGGGGACACUUCUGGCACUGGCGUGCUCUUCACUAGGAAUCCUAGCACUGGAGAGAAGAAGCUGUAUGGCGAGUUCCUGGUGAAUGCUCAGGUAUGGACCAGUUUCUGUUGUGCCUAUUUGAUUCACAAUCUUAGCUGCCCUGUUUGAUCAAGUUAUUUUACACAAGUUAUAUUAAACAUGCAGUAGUAUCAACGAAUCUGUAUAAUGUAUGUGUGUUUCUGGUUCAGGGUGAGGAUGUGGUUGCUGGAAUCAGAACCCCGGAGGAUCUUGAUGCCAUGAAGGCACAGAUGCCGGAUGCUUAUGUAGAGCUCGUUGAGAACUGCAAGAUACUGGAGAGCCACUACAAAGAAAUGAUGGUACCUUAUUAUUGCAUUUUCAACCUUUACUGCACCAUUUAUUUUUGAGCUAUAUUUAAACAUGAUCUCUUUAAUAAUUUGCAACAUAAGCGCACUUGAAUACUGGUGUUGCUUCAAUGUGUUCUGUAGAUUGGCAUUGUGUCUCUGUUACUGCCAUUGGCCAUGAUCUCAGACUUGCUUGCUUUUUAUGCAUGAUGCAGGACAUUGAAUUUACCGUUCAGGAAAAUAGGCUCUGGAUGUUACAGUGCAGAUCAGGAAAACGUACAGGCCAAGGGGCGGUAAAGAUUGCUGUGGACAUGGUUAAUGAGGGUCUUGUUGAGCGCCGUCAAGCGAUUAAGAUGGUAGAGCCAGGCCACCUGGACCAGCUUCUCCAUCCUCAGGUAAUGGAUAACCAUGAGGCCCGUAAACUGAUUGUGCCUUACUUGAAAUUCAGUACUCUUAUAAGUUUGGCCUUACUUGGAAUUCACUUUAUAAGUUAAGUACUGGAUAUGUAUUAACAUCACUGUUUUAAUCUUGUCCAAUGAAAACCAGUUUGAGAACCCAUCAGCAUACAAGGAUCAAGUAAUCGCUACAGGCUUACCAGCUUCACCUGGGGCUGCUGUGGGCCAAAUUGUAUUUACUGCAGAGGACGCUGAAGCAUGGCAUGCCCAAGGGAAAGCUGCUAUCCUGGUAAACACCAUUUUAUCCUCAUUUUUAAGAAAAAAAGGUCUUCUGCAGUUUUUGUGUCAUUUUGAUCUGGACUUUGUGCUUCGAUGAAAAGAUCUGUUAAUUGAGCAAAACUGGUCUAUUUACUGGACCUGUUAGAAUAGUUGCUUGCAGAGUUACAGUCACAAAAAUCCCACUUAUCACAGACAGCCAUUUUUGAAAUGCAUAUGGAAGCUCCAAGUCGUAUCGCUUCAUCUUUUGCAUUCUGAGAAUUUUUUCUUUGCAAAUAUAUAGGUGAGGACAGAGACCAGCCCAGAGGAUGUUGGUGGCAUGCACGCAGCUGUUGGAAUUCUUACAGCAAGAGGUGGGAUGACCUCUCAUGCUGCUGUGGUAGCACGUGGUUGGGGAAAAUGUUGUGUCUCAGGAUGCUCAAGCGUUCUCGUAAAUGAUGCUGAGAAGGUGAAUAGAAUUCUUGUUUGCACAUCUUCUUCUUUGUAGAAGGUGACAUGCCAUGUUAAAGUUUGUAACAGGAUUAUGACAUUCUUUGUAGAUGUGCUCCGUCCGCCAUUUUUAAGUUCUUAUUAACGAGAUUUUGAGGAUGUAGAUGUUUCCUUACUUUGCUAUGUCUACAUUUACAGUCUGUAGUGAUUGGAGACAAGGUGAUGCAUGAAGGUGAGUGGCUAUCACUGAAUGGAUCUACUGGUGAAGUCAUCGUGGGGAAGCAGCCACUUUCCCCACCAGUCCUCAGUGGUGAUCUGGGAACCUUCAUGUCCUGGGUAGAUGAAGUUAGGCAACUGAAGGUAAAUUCCUAGAAAUAACAAAUAUGUAAUAUUAGUUAAAACAUGGAUACAAACUGUUGGAAGUAGAAACCAACAAAAAGGGCAUCAGAUUAUUUAUUCAGACAGGCCAAAGCUAGUCAACCCCACUACACAUUUUUCAACAGAAAUGCUUAUUCGUACAUAUGAUCCACCUUCCAGGUUUUGGCUAAUGCGGAUACCCCUGAGGAUGCACUGACAGCAAGAAACAAUGGGGCAGAAGGAAUUGGACUAUGCCGGACGGAGCACAUGGUAUGUAUUUUAGUUACUGUCCAAUAUCUUUUGGGUGGGAUCUUGGAAAACUUACUCUUUCUUGAAUUCCUUCGUCGAACAGUUGGGUAAACUUUAAGGACCUCCCGUUCUAGUCUCAUGUUCUCCUUUUCUGCACUUUGGCAGUUCUUUGCUUCGGAUGAGAGGAUUAAGGCUGUGAGGCAGAUGAUUAUGGCUCCCACACUUGAACUGAGGCAGAAGGCACUAGAUCGUCUUUUGCCUUAUCAGAGGUCUGACUUUGAAGGCAUUUUCCGUGCUAUGGAUGGUAUGUGAAAAUCACGAUGCAUUCAUUUACAUGCUCUCCAAUUGAACUGGAUGCACUAGUGUUACUGAACAUAACAAGAGUAAGCAACCUUCUUAAAUAGACAACAUUGACUACUAAUGUAAAGUGAAAAGGUAGACAAGUUUUAAACCUUAGGAUGCAAAAUACUUCAAAAAUAAGAACGAAAUUGGGCCAGUAACAUAUUGCAUCAAUUAUUUAACUUGGUAACAUAAAGUUCUGCUAUGAUUUAUCCAUUAGUUUUUUUUAAUCUUUUAUAGCGAGUGGUAUAUGUACAUGUUUCAUGGAAACAGAUAUAGAAUUAAACUACUAGAAUAAAUUUUAACAUGUAUUGUAGUUAGUUCCACAGUAUGUAUUUUAAAGUGCGGAAUGGAUUUGAACAUUAUUUUUUUUGCAUUUCAGGGCUUUCAGUGACUAUUCGGCUUCUGGACCCCCCACUUCAUGAGUUUCUUCCUGACGGGAAUGUUGAAGACAUUGUGCGUGAAUUAUGUUCUGAAACUGGAGCCAAUCAGGAGGAAGCCCUUGCAAGAAUUGAAAGUCUUUCAGAAGUAAAUCCAAUGCUUGGUUUCCGUGGGUGCAGGUUGGUUUUUGUGCUCCGUUUAAAUCAGUCACCCCCCCUCCUUGAUCCAUUUGGUUCCCUUGUUAGUGAAAUAUUAAAAAGAAUAAACUCUGUAUAUUUACCUCGACUAAUAUUGGAACUGCUAAAAUUCCAGGCUCGGUAUAUCAUAUCCUGAGCUAACAGAAAUGCAAGCCCGUGCCAUCUUUGAAGCUGCUAUAGCGAUGACCAACCAGGGUGUUCAAGUUUUCCCAGAGAUAAUGGUUCCUCUUGUUGGGACACCUCAGGCAUGCAUCUUUAUUUCCUUAUUUGUGCAUAUGGUAUCUCUGCAGUUCAUGGUGUUCAAAAUGACAAAAUCAAAAUUGAAUAAACAACCAAGUUCUGUACACAUGUAAUUUACGAUUUUAUGCAAACAUCAAGUUGACCUACACCCAAUUUCCCACCAAAUUCAUUUCUUGAAAUUUUCUCUCUCGAAUUCUAAGUUUAUUGCUUUCACUUGAUUUUUCCUUCAGACAUCUGACAUUUGACUUUUGCAGGAACUGGGGAAUCAAGUGGCCCUUAUCCGUGAAACUGCUAACAAAGUUUUCGCUGCUCUGGGUAAAACCAUUGACUACAAAAUUGGAACUAUGAUUGAAAUUCCGAGGGCAGCUCUAGUAGCUGAUGAGGUAGGAAGCAUCUAACUCCCUUCAGAAUAAUCUUAAAUAUUGCUGUUUAGGUUUAGCUUUUAGAUCAUAUUUUUCAUGAAUGGUUUAGUAAUAGAACCCCGGAUUUUUACUCUAAAACAUGUGAAUAGUAACUGAUGGUAUGAAUUUAUUAAGUGCAAAUAAUAAGUUUAUCCUCUAAUUUAAAAAAAAAACUGACAUUCUUGUUUUGGUUUCACAACCUGACAGAUAGCAGAGCAGGCUGAAUUCUUCUCUUUUGGAACGAACGACCUCACACAGAUGACAUUUGGCUACAGCAGGGAUGAUGUGGGGAAGUUUCUUCCCAUUUAUCUGUCUCAGGGUAUCCUCCAACAUGAUCCCUUUGAGGUAAAAUUUUAGCAGCUCUCACCCUUCAGUUUUAGAUGAUAUACCUGCAUUUUCAUCAUCCACUCUUGUUUUUCAAGGAAUAUUUCCAUCAUCCACAGAUGCGAGCAUCUCAUGUCCUCUAGGCAUUUUUCAUGUCCUUGACUUUUGGUUACGUGCAUGCUCUGGUAAAAUUCAACCUAGUAACUUGCCCAUUGAAUGUUGAUAAACAUAUCAGGUGCUGGAUCAGAGGGGAGUGGGCGAGCUGGUUAAGUUUGCUACAGAGAGGGGUCGCAAAGCUAGGCCUAACUUGAAGGUUAGUUUUUGGGACUUGUGGACAUUGGCUCUUUUCCUUAGAAAUCAUGGUUUCAUUGUUUGGUGCUGUCUGCAAACAGGUGGGCAUCUGUGGAGAACACGGUGGGGAGCCUUCGUCAGUUGCAUUCUUUGCAAAGUCGGGGCUGGAUUAUGUUUCUUGCUCGCCUUUCAGGUUGGUCAAGUGAUAAACUCAAGAUACAACUCCCAGAUUCAUAACUGUAGCAAAACCUUAACUACUUUUUAUGAAAUAUCUUGUGCAGGGUUCCCAUCGCCAGGCUAGCUGCAGCUCAGGUGCUCGUCUGAGGGCACCGCCUCAUCGGCAACCGGAUCACCUGCUGUUGGUGCGUCUGGUGAAGAAUACUAAUACAAAGCCAUGGAACGGUGGAACUCUGCUGCCUGGCAAAGGCCGUUGUAUCUUGUAUGAAGUCUCCGUGCGCGUGCGCAUGUAAGACUUAAUGUGUGGUUUUCUGCAUUUUCCCUUGAACUACCAUGGUAAUGUAGUACCAAACAGAGAUGAUGACGAAGAACAAUCGAAUAAAUUAAUUGGCGAUUACCUGUGCUGUCAAUUUUGCUUUCUUGUAUGAGUUGCUAGUGGAACUGAAGCAUUUCAGAUUUGUUGGCCAAGGUGGAUGGUAAGUAUGAAUGCAACACAUAGUACUGGUUCCUGAUGCCUGGGAUCACUAUUUUUCGGUCCUACUAGUGUACCCAAGUCACAUAGAGAUAAUAGAAGGUAAAAGAUAAUCUCUAUGAUGCAACAGGACUACAGGAGUGAUUAGCCUCUUUUGGCAUUAACCAGUACACACUACACAUCAAUCACCUUUUGCCGUUCCUCCUUAUCUAAGAUUUUCCACACUUCUGAUCGCAAGGAAAAUUAUUGGCAACCUUCACUACAAUGCAUUCUCUCGGUUUUUGUUUCACCUUCUUGUCACGACCCUAAUCGCGGUUUUGUUUCAUCUUCUUAUCACGACACCAAUCGUAGCUAACUCGUUAAGUAUCAUCUCAUGAGCAGAAUUAAUCAUUAGGAAUGGUUAGGGAACUAAAAUAAUGAAAUUAUAGAGCUACGCCAUGUUUUCCUUUUGCGCAGGGCUGGCGCUCUCGGGUCAACACGUCAGCACUGGUUACCACUUCAGUGAUUCAUCAAUUCACAAAAAACAGCAAGUUGCAUACAUCCAUUCCAAGUAUCACACUAGACUCAUAGGUUCCAAAAGAAACUUACAACCAAGUCGCAUACAUCCAAGCAAAAGUAUCACAAUAAACUAGUAUCAGGUCCAAGGUAGCAACAUAAAAUGCAUAGUCUCGGUCCAGCCAGCAACCAGGAAGCAAAUGAAAAUGCCAAGUCUUAAGUCCAGGUAGCAAAAUGAUCCAACCACAAGAAUCUGUUUGGAGUUUCCUAGGUAGCAAUGAUUCGGUCACAUUAAUCCGAGUUAAGAAAUCACAUACUCCUCGUUGAGGUGCAUCAAACGACGAAAAAGAGCAUUGGUCUCCGCUCUUUGCUUCUUCAGACUUCGUAUCUUUUCUAGCUGCUUUUGCUUUGAUGCUUGUAUCUUCAAUUUCAAGGCUUCCAAUUUGUGGUACGGAAAAUGGUACAAAGGUUAUAAGUCCCCGAACGUUUAUACCAUAACUUGUUGCUUGCCUAUGUUCAUUUGGUGCUGUGUAGGUCGCAAGUUAGAUUCCGGUGGAGGCUUCGUCAUUUUUUUUUGUUUCUUUUUGCUGCUGGGCGUGGACAAGUGGGGAUCCAGAGGUGUUGGGUCGUGUUGCUGCAGGGCGCUAGCGGACCGUAGACCACCUCGGUUUGCUACUGCUAUACAAGUAAAUGAAUCAGAUGACGUAUUACAAGCACGUUGCUAAGUUCCGGGAUCGAGUCUUGCAAGGGCUCUCCACAUUUUUUUGUUACUAUUUUGCUGCUGGGCGCUACACAUUCUGGUGCAGGCCUCUAACAGGCCAAUAGGCCAUGGUCCAUUUUGCAAGUCAAGGCUUGGCUCUAUUGUAGUGCUGAGCUGGGCUGGGCUGAUCAAGCCUGUGAAUACAAUGGAGGUUGGACUGAAAAAGAAGAAAAGGCAAAAGAUGAAAAAAAAAUGACGUGUGGGACCCACAAUAGACCUACUUGUCAAAGUGAUGCUAGGACCCACUAUAACAGGCCAACAAGAUCCUUUUUUGUUAGAAAAAUAUAUCUACGAUGAAUCAUCGUCAUAAAACUUGUGACAUUUAUCUACUGGCCUUUAUGACAAAAUAAUAAUGUUCGUCAUGACAUGACAUUAGACUAGCUUAAAACGAUUAAAACGAUUUCUAGUUGGUCUUAGCGAUGAAUACCUCAUUUUUGUCAUUGCAGUGCCUCAUAUAGAAUGUCAUAAAACAGAAUAUCAUAACGACGAAUAGUUCCAACCUCACGUGGUAUUUGUCCCGAAAGGUCAUAUUUUUUUUAACGAGGGUUGCGUGCAUGUAUCAUAGGAGUGAGUAUGCAUGUGUGUAUGUGAGCGUCUACUUGUGUUUCGAAAAAAAUGGAUAUGGAUGCGAGACAUAAAUUAGAUAAAUUAGAUAAGUGAAAUCUCGUAUGCUAGCCUACGUGGUCUUUGGACUUCGUUAGGCUUGAUGCAACCUAAGUGCCAGCAUGUCGCCCACUCACUCCUAUACUUACUGUGUAGCUCUCAGUUAGACAUUCUCCCUCUUCGACGUCACUGAGAGUCUAAGACUAGCCUCCACCUGUGUUGCCAUGUCCGGUGCAUUCCACGGUCUCUCUUUCAUACGCCGUGUUUCGUCAUCCUCCUUAGUAUCCUGUGCGCGCACCAACUAUUGAUAUCUUAUGCUCUCCUAAUACGAGGAUGCAAUCUUCAUCAUCAUCGACCCCAAUGCCCAUGGCCACCAGUGGCCUACCACCACGGUUGGUCAUCACACACCUUCCAUGCUCGUAUGUCAUUUCACAAUUAUAAACGUUGUUUAGAUAAAUGAUAAUUCUUCUCACAUCUAUAUUAUAUAUACGUUUUAAUGAAACACACGUGUCAUGUUUAGCAGAGAGUUUGCUGAUGUAUGUUUUUUUAACUUGUCCUUCUAAAUUUUAGGGUAGUGAGCUAUUUAAAGGUUUACUGGAGUUGCUUACCAUUGUGCUUGUGAACGUGCCAGCUGGCUUGUGGACGGGUGAUUCCGGCCGGGGAAAACCCUCUCGAAAACCCCAAAUCUGCUUCGUCACUUCCGGACUUCCGGUUCCGGCCCUCGUCAUAUGCCGGGGGCACCGACUGCCACGCGAUUUCUCGCUCUCCUGAUCCCCUCGCCCUCCCGUCCGUUGUUCCCCUCUCCCGCAUCGACGCCAAUCGCCAGUGGCCCCUUCAGGCACCGCGCCGCCGGCAUGACCUCAGGGUCCCCCCCGGGUUCGCCCCCCUCCCCUCCUGGGUCCCAGGUCCGCCCUCCCUCGCACCGAUAACUGGUACCCUUGUCACAUUGUGGAUUGGUAUUUGCCCUAGCUUUGGUUUCUCCCCCCAAUUCUACUUGGCCCGCAUGUCGAUUUGCGUGUUUCUUUGGUGCCGGCCGCAUCAUGAUCAGGCGUUGAUUCGGUUGGAUUUUGGGGGGCGACUCUUGUAAAUUGUAAUCAUCAGGUUGUAUCUGGUUGUUUUGUUUAGAGACCCAGUCGCUCACUAAGGUUUGGAUGGAUUGCGUGCUCGAGAUCGCAGUACGCGUGUUCGUUUCUUAUGCGAAAAAUGCUGGCCGCAAUUUUAGUUCCAAACGGACUGGAAGUUUGGAGUCGGCCGAUUCAAACACAGGUUUUUCCGCAAAGAUAACAUUUUGUGAGGUGAAUCGACGCAGACAAUAAGUCUGACUUUUAAGGUCGUCGCAUAUGUGUUACAUCUGUUCAUGUGUGCUGGUAUGCGUUGGUUCAUAUUUUAGGUGCAAAUGCCUAAUGCCAUAUGCCAGGGAGGUAGAAACUGAUGAGAACAACAGAGUAUUUGACCUUGCUCUUAGUAAUCCUCCUGGUAUAUAGAGUCUAAAUCAAUUUAGGCAACUUAUGAAGAUCCAUGUGUUUAUGUGACCCUGCCAUUGUGGGGAUAUUAGUAAUUUUGCAAUUCUUAGGAUUUCAUGAUAUAUGUUCUAUAACCAGCAACAAGCAGUAGAGUGUCUGAAUGGAAGAAGUGGCAUUAGUUUUGCCCAAAAAGUGCUUUUAGGUGCUGCUGGGUACAAACAACAGUGUGGGAUAUUGCUUCUUUUCCAACUGCAUAUCAGCUAAAGACAACUGUUUCCAUGGAAGAUAAACAUACUUCUGCAGCAGAUUCUUUCAUGUGCAUGAGCACCUUCUUGUUUGAUUGGAGUGGUAACUUUGUUGCAUGUAUUGUAUUUUACAUGCUUUGCAUAAUGCAUACACAUUUCUUGCCACUCAUGUACAAUUGGGAGAAGGCAGAGUGGAACAGAUUUUAGGGGGAUGAGAAUAACUGGGAGCCUUAGUACUUAUAUGUUAUUUAUACCAUAGCUUUUAGACCAAUGUUGUUUCUGAAUCUAUUUUAGUUUAUGUUCUAAGUGGACUUUGUACAAAUGAUUGUUGAAAAUUGGGAGAUUCAACCUUAUUUUAAUUUUAAGUUGGACCCACUUGUUCAUUUGCUGCAGUUAUUUCUGUGCAAUGGAAUAUGGCUUCUGUACAGCAGUACGCAAAAGUUGCUACAAACACUGUUUAACAUAAGGUUUGCCAUAAACAAAAGCCAUUUUGUGCAUAUAGUAGACAGAAUCAGUCGAAUCAUAUCGGCAGCUUUCUUUUUCUUUUCCAUUGUGCUUGCUGAAAAGCAAUAUUUUGUGCUUGCUGAAAAGCAAUGUUUUGUUAUUCUACUAGCAGUAAUGGUCUAUGCAGUAUUAUAUUAGCAUCUUCCAAUUUGCUGUUCUUGUUCAAAAGAUUUUUCACUUUUCUGCUCUACAGAAGCAUGAUACGUGAGGCUGUGACACAAAUUGUUUGCUUUACAUGCUCACUUGAGAUAGAUUUUAUUUUACCUUUGUGGAAAUGAGAUAAAGAAAAUAACGAAUACCUUUCUGGAUUUGACAGAGAAAACGCAGUGCAACCAAAGAUUCAGUUGGCUUGUAUGCGGCGCAAUGCUAUAUGUGCUACAAAUGGCGUAUGAUUCCAACUAAAGAAGAAUUUGAGACACUUCGUGAGAACUUCACUGAGGAUCCAUGGUUCUGCAGCAGAAGACCAGAUUGCUCUUGUGAAGAUCCUGCUGACAUUGAGUAUGACAGCAGCCGCAUCUGGGUCCUCGACAAGCCCAACAUACCAAAGCCCCCACCAGAGACAGAGAGGCUAGUGAUUAUGAGGCGUGAUUUCAGUAAAAUGGACACCUACUAUGUCAUGCCAAAUGGGAAGCGUGCACGGUGUGCCGGGGAUGUAGAUAAGUUUCUGGAGGCAAAUCCAGAGUACAAGAACCGCAUAUCCACUUCAGACUUCAACUUUGCACCACCCAAGGUUGUUGAGGAGACAGUUUCUCACAACUCUGCCUGGAAGGCUGCCAAGGCUAAGAAGCAGGACAAGGCAGACGCUUCUAGUGCACAGAAGUGAUAGAAGCUCUAAACGGUGCCUGUGCUAUGUUUAGGUGUUAGUCCUCUUAGGAUCAUGUCAUGUCUAAUGUAGGUUUUAUUGCUGUGAGCCUGUGACUUUGCUCUGAUGCAAGUGCAACUGAACCCUUGUGUUGAGCUUCCUGGGAAAUCUCUGAGAUCGUUAAUAAGUUCUGUUGGCCUCUUGCUCUUUUCCAAUAAGCUGCUUGCAUAUUGCCUUACUACAACAUCCUCAAGUUUUGCUUUUCAGUUCCCAAGUGCAUGCAUGGUGGUCUCAUUAUCUAGCACCAUAUGUAUGUAGCAGAUGAAUGCUGCCCAAGCUUGGGCAUUCCUACCAAAGCCAUUUGAGCUCGUCCAGUGCAACACUGAUUUAAUGUCACAAGACAUAUAGAUGAGCUGAUGAGAGUCCACAAGCUUGUGAAGAAACUAGAAAUGCUCAUAUAGGGUAGCACAUGGAAGAUGAGAAAACUAACGACAGAUCAGGAGCAUCCAGUAACAAUGUAGGACAUUAGGACCAACACUACAUGCAAAAUUAGCAGAGAUUCUUGGACUUGCUGCUGACAUGCCAUAGAGUCAGUCGUCUUGGCGACGUUGAUGGUGCACUGAUAGCCUUCUCUGACGUCAUUGUCCCUGCAGAACUCCUUCCACUCAUUGGCCAUCCUAAAGGUCGCCUUCCAUGAUCUCUUGCUCCUUGCCGAUGUUUUUCAGUGUGACUCUACAGCUUGUAGGGAGGCCAAUCGAAGCGCAUUUUGUCCGUCCAAUCAUCUGCAUUGUGAACUAGAAUUGCAUGAAGCCUUGGCGUACAAAUUCUGCAUGUCGAAUUCCCUCGGUGUGGUGAAAACAACUUCUGUGUGCAGGCGAAUGGAAGUAAACCAGUGCUCACGGAUUUCUGUUUAAGCGCGCAAUGCAUUGGCUUUUUAUGUCUCUUCUUAUUAUUCAAAGAAGUUGGGGAACGCUCUGGUUUCUCAUCUCCUGAAUGAAUUGAGCUUUUACACACGCAUUUCCUCUUUCUGACUGAUAGAUGAUGCUUCACGCCGCUGCUUCUUUGAACAAUCAAACAAACAGUGUGAAGGAAAUUGUGCAAUCAUGCAAAUGGUUUGAAAUAAUCUCCACAUAUUCAAAAUUCUGAUAAUAGAAAUCCCCUGAAAAUCUUGUGGUCGAUCAUCUGGGGUUUUCUCAUCAGCGAUAUCCCCUGAAAAUGCUGUGCCGUUGUAAUCUUUCUGCAACCCGCUUGCCUUGAACAUUUUGUUUUUCAUCGUGAACAGCAUGUUCCCUUCGUAAUUGAACAGGAAAAGGUGGCCACGAGAAAAGCCAUGAACUGUCAGAAACUCUGCCCAACCACACCUGAAGAAGACACCAUGGCCUCUUGACAGUCAUUGUCUUGGGCCAUAGAUUUCGCAUAAACAAUGGAGGGAUUGGCUGCAACAACAAUUUAUCAGAAUUCAGAACAUGCAGCACCAGCAAGCAAACAUACAGAGGCAUGGCAGCAAAAUACGAGAAAAUUUCUGCAGGGAAGAAUGUGGCUGGAACUUGGCAGACCAUCUUGUUGCAGAAUUCAGGGACAAGAAUUCCGGUGAAAUGCAGCCUCCCUACCAUGCUCUUGCCUGUCAAACCUGUGCAUGGAGUAUACAAGUUACUGCAGGAACUGCAAGAGUCUCAAGCCAGAACUCGGUGCUCUUAGCAGCUACAUUGACAUUCGGCACUAAUGAAUCACUACUUGAAUCUGUUGAUGCCAAUUUACUAGAAUUCGCUUCAUACUUGAACAGGUAGAAGGUGGCUUCAGAAAGACCAUUGAAAACCACUCCAAAGUAUGCUUUUUCUGAAGCCGCUCCCAAAAAGCCCGAUGCACUGAAAGCCUGAAGCACCAAACACGCCGAGGGGGCUGAAGACCGUGGCCUCUUGCCUCACAUCGCCUUGCGCCAUGUGAUUUCGUGCAAAGCUUGGAGGGAUCGGUUGCAAGAACACUGGAUCAUAACAUGCAGCAAGCAGACAUACUAGCCUGCAGAUACGGCGCUACACAGUAAGAGAAAGUCCGAGAAGGAAAGCAUGUGGCUGGCACUUGGCAAGACCAUCUUCCUGGAGAAUUCAUGGAGCAGAAAUCCGAAAUCCGAUGAACUGUACAAUAGCCACCUGAAUUAGUUGAUGCCAACAAGAUUGUGGCAUGCUUGAUACAACAGCCACGUACGAUGCUUGCUGAAACCUGAAACAGUGCCAAUACCUGAACAGAGCGCAGAAUUCAAGACGGAAGAACCACCCGCGGCGCUCGUGCCUGAACACCGCCAACCAACCACCCGACGCCACGCUCCAAGAACAUCAAUAUAAACCCCGAACCUUCGCGCCCUGCUGCCCACGAAAACAAGAAUCCCCUCGCCCUCCUCUGCCUUCUCCCUUCCACCACGUUCAUUGCCGAACAAGAAGCUUCGCCUUCCUCCUCACAACCUCCCCACCCCGCUUCCCCGCAGCAAUCGAGGCCAGCUCCCGUUCUUGAAUCAAGAACGUCCCUGCAGAGUUCUUGAAUCAAGAACGCCCCUGCUGGGUUGAUCAAGAACGCCCAUGGAGGAGGCUUGGGAGGAGGAGGGCCGAGCCCGAGCCGGUAAGCUCGCCGAGCCGUUGGGCGUCCGCCCCGCCGCCAGCGCAGGAGGCCACCACCGCGAGGAGCCUCCGCCGCGGCGCGCGCGUUGGUUGGACGUGCUCCGGUAUAUUUGGAUGUACGCGCGCGGCUUCGCGCACGGCGUCGGCCGCGUGCUCUUAUUGCUGAGGCGCCAAAGCAUCGGCGCCGCCGCCGGUGUCGUCGUCGCCAUGGAGCGCAGCGGACGGCACGAGGACAACGGGGGACAGCGCAAUUACGCCUUCAUGUACGGCAAGCUGCUCAAGGCACACCGCAGCGAUAAGCUGGCGCACCACAAUGAUCCGGCGCCGCAGGUACGCCGCAGCGAUGAGCCGGAGCACCACGAUGAUCCCGAGUCGCAGGAUUCCAACAACGCCACAGCCGCCGGCUCGGCCCCCACCCCGGCCCUCCCACUGUUAAUCCGACUCUUGCAUUUCUUAAUCUGAAAUUGUGCCGCGGUUGCAGUUCAGCUUUAGCAGCCUGCAAGUAAAUGAGCUUAGAUUGCAGAUUGCAUUUCUUGCUCUGAAAUUUGUCUUGGUCGCUGCUCUGGUAGCCAUUGAGAAAAUGUAUUUAGACUGCAUUUUGCAUUUUUUUUCCUCUGAAAUUAUGUCUUAGCUGUUGAUUCAACAUAUACUUCUGCAUUCCAUGGAUGUGCACAAGACGCCUGGAUUUCCGUGCAAGACUUGCAAGGUUCGAGUUGGAACGCCACAUGAGCUCCUGCUGCACGCUCACUUCUGCCGCGCGCUUCAGAUAGAUGAGUUCCUCUGUCAACCAUCGUAGGCCUAAAUUGACAACCGUCGUAUUAUUUCGGAAAAAAAACCCGUUGUAGGCCAAAUUGAUAUGGUUGCCUUUUCAAGUAACCUUUUUAUCUAACUUGAUGAUGGCUGCAUAUAGGUUGGUGGAAGCUGAUUGUACAGAAGAUGAAAGUCAUGAAGACAGAUUGAUUUUCGGAAGGCAAAGGAUAACUGUAGGAGAAGCUGCAAAAUUUUGGAUGUAGUUUACUGUGUCGUGUAUUAGACAUGAUGCCUUACAUCCCAGUCAAAAACUACAUAUAGUUGUUGGGGGCUACAUAUUAAAAAACUUAGAGAAGUUUGUUCAUAGCUCAUUUCAUUUUCAUUCAUCGUAUAAGGCGUUUGGAUACGAGGUACGGUCACAUUGGAUGUUCGGAUGCUAAUUAGGAGGACUAAACAUGAGCUAAUUAUAAAACUAACUACAGAACCCUUAUACUAAUUCACGAGACGAAUCUAUUAAGCCUAAUUAAUCCAUCAUUAGCAAAUGGUUACUGUAGCACCACAUUGUUAAAUCAUGGACUAAUUAGGCUUAAUAGAUUCGUCUCGCGAAUUAGACUCCAUCUGUGCAAUUAGUUUUAUAAUUAGACUAUAUUUAAUACUCCUAAUUAGUAUCCAAACAUCCGAUGUGACAGGUACUAAAGUUUAGGGGGUGUAUCCAAACACCCCCAUAGUCAAUCCCGUGACUAAAGAUACUGGCAGCCAGGAUCAUGUUGCUGAAUUAUUACUGCAUAAUGCACUAAACAGUUAAUAAUAUUGAUAUCUAUAAUCUAAUAAUGAACUUAUAUAGAGAUGGUGGUGAAUGUUGUUUAUCAUUCAAUUACUUAUGUUUCUUUUUUUAGUUACUUAUCAUUCCGUUUAUGAAAGCUUCCUAAGAUUUAAAUUGUGCAAACAAGCUUGAACUAAGUUUUGGUUGAAUUUUUUCAUUCCAUUACCCUUAUUUUUCCAAUUCGAAACAAACAAAGACCGCCGUAAAUAAACAAUGUAUUAUGUUGGGGAUUUGACUCCGGCAGAGUAGGAGAAUAUAGAGCUAAUGGAGAAGUCAUAGCUUAGGGAUAAGUGUGAGAGUGCUAAAGAAAUGAGUUCCCUCCUUAUGACCCCAUGAGAUCUUUAUAUAGAGGAGGAAGGAGGUGGCGAUUAGCCCCCAAGCCCCUGAUGCGUACAAGAUUUACAACUAGACCUUUUGAUCUUUACAUUGGCUGCCCUUUUACUCAUGGGCUGGACCAUUUCCCAACGGUAGCCCCUCAACUACUUUGGUUCGGCUGGCACAACGAAGCGAAGUAGCUGAAUUCAUGGAAAGGCCUAGCUACAACUUUAACUUCGGCCAUAAGGAAAAGCCCUCACUACCGCAUCCGCUUCACCGCUAGACUUUGCUUCACUAAUCACCUUCUAUUUCUUGAGUUUAGCUUCACAACUUCACCUUUUAGCUUCAACUUUAACAAUGUAAUCAAAGUAGCAAAUUCCGUCGAAGUAGCAGAAGUAGAUGGAGUAGAAACACGCUCUUCCGCGUAGUUAAUGUAGUCGAAGUAGACAGUCCGUCUCUUACAUAUUCGAAGAAGAAAGUCCAUCUUUUAAUGUGGUUGAUGUAGUCGAAGUAGAGGAAGCAAAGAGCUGUUGCCUUUGUCCUAUCGAAGCUAGCAACACCUUUGAAUCUUCACUCACAUGCGUCGGGCAAGAUUUGAAUCCCGUGGUGAAUUGGUUCUCUAUGAUCCCGCCAUAGCCCCUCUUGGCCGAUGCAUGUAGUGAAGAUGGUAGUGGUACUUUGUACGUAAUUGAAGCAGUAGUGAAGGUGCAAUAGACGAAGCGCCCCUCUCCCCGAAACAGUGGUUUAGACAUAGUCGAUGAUGAGCACAUCAAGUUUAAUAUUGCCAUCGAAGAUAAAGGUGAAGUAGUAUAGACGUCUCCGAAGUUGUUGGAAAGCCCCUCGAGCCGAAUGAUGUUGCGAGGUUGAAGUCAAGUAGUAGACGAUGACGAACUUGCUAGCGGACCCCACGAGAUGAAGUAGUGGUGGAGGCGAAGUUGAUGUUGACGCUAAUGAUGACAGCGAGCCCCUUGAUGGAAGCACAGUAGCAUGCAAUGCCGAAGUUGGCCCUCGGUGACUUUCUUCAUGUCGGCAAGGCUAAGCUGGAAAAAAAAACAAUUCAACUUGCAUUUUUUUUCAAUAUCAGCUUUCCACUGAACAAGUGUGCCUGCAUAAGAGUGUCUAUCAUCCCACAUAAAGAUAAUACAAAAUACAAGCAGUAACAAAUGUGCCCAAACAAGGCUUUAACAGCAUUACGGCUCUAUGGAUUUCUGCACAAUAGAUGUAACAUCCCAAAAUUUGAAAUUCAAAUUUGAAAAUAGGGACCCAAAUUUUUUUUCUAAAAUUUGCAUAGCAAAUUUAAACCUAGAAUCCUACACUUUAAAUUUAUGCUCAAAAAUAAUUUCUACAAAUGCAUAUGCGUAUGCCUGAGCUAACUACGUACCUUUACUCCAAAAAUAUUAUAUCUUUGAAGCCUACACUACAGACCCUAAUCAAAUUUGAACUCCAUUUCAAAUUUGAAUCCAAAAGUAACUUUGAAUAAUGAAAAAUCUGUGAAACUUAACCAUGCCGACACCCCUUCACUUCCGGGCCAUUCUCCCUUCUAGCCCGGCCUGCCUCCACUCUCCAUUCCGCUCGCACGCGCGCGCUCGAGGCCCAGCUCACGGCCCAGCAGCAGCUCGUCCCAUGACCUAGAACCAACUGCUAUGUGACUGGAGUUGGUGGAUAACACUGUUCGCUAGCCUGAAGGCAUCGCUGAAGACGUAUCUAUGAAGACCGGAAAUUACUUUGUCCUUGUUGACUUCGUAAUACUCGAGAUGGGUGAAGGAGCAAAAUCCGCACUGAUACAGGGAAGGCCUUUCCUGAAGACAUCAAGAACAAAUAUAGAUGUUGGAAAGCGAGAGAUCAAGUUCGAUAUUAAUGGCACACUGAGCGCAUUCAAGUUUCAUCCACGUUUUGAGGUAUGCAACAUGAUUUCUAGCAAGUAUAUACUGCCGCAUGCCAUGUCAAGUAGGAGAAGAAGAACAAGAAGGUAGAAGAGAAGAAGCCAGCGCAAGUUGCUAUCAUCCAGAAAAAGGAAGAACACCAGUCUGUAAAGACCAAAAAGAUAGCCAAGCCUAUGCAUGUAUCGAAUCCCAAGAUGGUGCAGAAGUGGGUGCUGAAGACUGCAGUGCUGACACCGAGCGCUGGUCCAAAGUGAAGAAUUGAAGGGUCUAGCUAUAGACUAUAAACGAAGCGCUUUGCGGGAGGCAACCUGAUCAUUGAGUCAAGAAUAAGCUACUGGGAGGACAACCCUGGAGUCAUUUGAAUUUUCAAGUAAGUGAGUCGCAGAUUUUGCUAUUGGGAUUUAAUAAGUGGAACCUUUGAUCAAGAUAAUUUUUGAAGAUUUAUUCGCUCAGUCAUUUUUGUUCCUCUCUUUUUAAUAAACCAAUGACAUGAGUCAUCCCAAGCUUUACUUAAUUUUUCUUGGAAAACAGAAUCAAAUAUCCAGACCCUAUAAGACUUUUUAUCCUGACCAUGAUAAUUAGCCAGACCUGUUUCUCAUGAUAAACACACGAGUAGAGCCCGCGUUGUUCUUACAUUGCAAAUUUUGGCUAGGACUCAUGUAACCCUAGGAUUUUUGUUUGCUUAAACUUGAAAAAUUUACCUGUUUUCCUAGAAUUAUAAUUUUUCUCAUCCAUCUUUGAUUUAUUUCAUUCAAAAUUGCUCUCUCAUUUUUAGCCAAAAUUAGAACCUAAACCUACUACCCCACGGUUGAAAUCGAAAUUGCUUCAUCUCAAUUCAUGAGAAUGAACGAUACCGGUGCAACCAAAAUUAAUAUAGUCGGAAAUAUUUUUGACUUACAUUUUUUUUUGAUGCUUCAAAACCCCUCUAACAUAUAUUUGAACUCAUUGCUAGCUCUGAGUUAUUUUCUUAAUUUUUAAGAUUAGAGGAGGAUUAAGCAUCUAAACAUAAUUUGGAGGGUUCAUGAGCUUCAUUAACACUAAUGGUUUGAUUUGAGAUCACGGGAAUCAUUAUGGAGGCACUCCCGACUACCACACAUGCAUAAAAAAUAAAGAUUGGCCUGCCAUGUUUGUUUGUUGCAGAUCAAAGGACAAAACAUUGAGUAUGAUUGAAGAAAAAAAUAAGUCUAUGACACAUAAGUGCAUGAUUUUGAGCAAAGUGGCCACACAAAGGACAUGUGGAGGUUGUUUUGACGGUGCCCUUCACGUGAAGACCUUAAAUUUGGAUACACUAAUGAGCAAAUUGCCAUGUGAAGAAAGAUGGAAACUAGAGGAGGCAGAAACACACUAGGCCGAUCGGCCUGGGAUCUUUUUAAGCCCUCUCGUGGUGCCCUUUGCUAGGUAAGUCACUUAGCUCAUUGUUCAUCUAUUUCCACACAAAGAACACCUCAAGUUAGCCUCUGAAAAAUUUAAAACUCCAUGGUGGUGUCGUGCGCAUAUCCAGUGCUGGGAGAAGAUGGUCGACGUGUGGUUGGAGCCCGGGUGGUUGGAGAACCACCUUGCUUGCCGGCAGCGGCGUUUGCAGAUGCCGACUGCACCACACCAUCAAGGUAGCCUAAGCCUUGAUGAAUAUAGAGAAAAAUGGGUAUGCAACUUCAAUUUUUUAUUCUAACAUUCAAUUCUACAUAAUUCCUAAUCAUUUUGUAGUUUUUGCCGCAGUCAUCGUCACAUGAUGGCCGACCUUGCUCCUAGCUCAAGGCAUGGGUCCUCUCCAAAAAGGGCAAGGCAACGGCCGAUAUCAAUUUCAACCCGGAUGACCCGUCCGAGGCGUACAACCAUCCUAGCAUACACAGUCGCGUCAACAAGUAUACAACGAUGGCUAGGGAGGUUCACGGGCCAGACUUCGAUCCGAGCUCCGAGGACAUUGAUGGAGAAAUCGUGAUGAGGGUGGGAGGAGGCAAGAAGCAUGGCCGAUAUUGGGUUGGCGACGGUGUAAUCGACACGGCCUCUACUCCCACUCUCUCCUAGAUUCGAGCAAGGAGCACGGACUCGAGCCCGGCGAUACGGCCAUGACCCACCACUGCACAGUUACAGAUGGAGGCUCUCCAGGUUCUUUCUCUUCCAUUCAUCGUUCGUUUGUUGUUAUACUUUAGCUUUGCAUUAUAACAUUGCAAUGAAAUAUUGUAGGCCCAGGUGGAAGCAGCAAGGAAAAAACAAGAGGAGAUGGCGGCGCAGAUGGAGGACAUGCGGCGGAGGAUGGAGGAAGAAAAUCGGAUGAGGAUGGACCAGAUGUUCCAGUACAUGCAGAAUUUUGCUUCAAGCAUGGGUCAAUCUUUGCCUCCGCCACCGCCGAUGUUGUUCCCUCCGCCUCAGCCACCCACAACUACUCCUGUGAGUCCUUUGACACAUUGUGCUUAAGAUUGAAUACUUUAAUUUUGACAACUUUAGUUGUUAGCUCAGAAUGUCCUAUCCUAUGUGCAGAAUCAAUCGGCGGCUUCAAAUAAUGAAGAUCAAGAUUUGUCGCAGUGGUCUCCUUGGCCUCCACGGAACUAGACUUGGUUGUGAACUUGGUUGAAACUAAAUUGUGACUUGAACUUGGAUUUAUGGAUUGUUUCGUGCUUAUGUUGGAUUAUGCCUGUGAUGUUUAUGAAUAAUGCUUCUAAUGGUGGUUGUGAAUUAUGCCUGUGAUUGUUUAUUACAAAUGCAUGUGAUGAUGUGUAUUGUGAAUUGAGAGGGAUCUGUUAUACGUGACAAAACGGGUAAAAAAGGGGGUACUGACCACUUUGCCGAGUGUUACACUCGGCAAAGAGGGGCUUUGCCGAGUGUUUUUGCCUUAACACUUGGCAAAGUGGGCUGUUCCACCACCUGGUGCCACCUGUUUGCCGAGUGUUUUUGCCUUAACACUCGGCAAAGGGCACUUAUUUGCCGAGUGUUUUUUCCUUAACACUCGGCAAAGGGCACUGAUUUGCCGAGUGUCAGAACCACGACACUCGGCAAACAGGCUGUAGUUGCCGUGUGCUGCCACUCGGCAAAUAGCCUGUAGUUGCCGUGUGCUGGCCGUUGGCAAAGUUUUCGAGUUUGCCGAGUGCCUGCCGUCUAGCACUCGGCAAAGCUGCCGUUAGCCUCGACGCCGUCAAAGCCAAUGUCGCCGAGUGUGUUUUUUCGCCGAGUGUUUUUUGGCCGUCGGCAAAAUGUUUGCCGAGUGCACGAGUUUUGACACUCGGCAAAGCAGUGUUUGCCGGUACAAUAUUUGCCGUGUGCUAUAUGCCGAGUGUAACACUCAGCAAAGCCUUUGCCGAGUGUUUUUGGGUCUUCGCUGAGUGCCUGUGGCAGUCGGCAAAUUCAGUGUUUCCCGUAGUGUAGGAACUGUUGUCUAGAGAUACAUGCCGGUGGGCACGAGUCUCGUAGAUCAAUAUCACCUCCGUACAAGGUAUGGGUUGAUCGACGAUGCGGGUAAAGUGCGCAACCUCUGUAGAGUUACAAUCUAUCUGCUAGCCGAGGCUCACGGUUAUGAUCCCACCUGAUCAAAGCUCCCAUUGAUUAGUCAAGAUUAUAUUUUUUUUUAUAUAAAAACCCUAUGUCUCAGGUUUAAGCUUGAGUAACUACUUUGGAAUAAGGCAAGGUGCCAGCUCAGAGAAUCCCUGACGGAUCCUGAUGCUUUUAAAAUAUAGGGGCUGGUAGGGAGGUGGAUUCCCCUCCAGGACCAACAACUUAUAAUAUUCUCCCUGUCCUUCAAAAGCUAUAACUACACACGAGUGCAUAAAAUUGGCUUUGAGGCAAAAUCCUAAAGUAGAAGCCAACCCUUGAAAAACCAACAUGAAAUAAUUGGACAAUUGUGGGAUUUGUUGAGUGCUCAUUUAGAGUACUCACUCUUUCUUUAUUACUUUCUUUCUACAGAAGAAGAAUAGUCGUUGAAGACAACGAAGAACUUAGAGAUCAACCUUAGGAGCCAAGUUGUCUGCGGACUUGGGAAUACUGCAUAGACCUCUGCUGUAUAUCUACUCUGGGGCUCCAACCACCUUUGUUCAAAUAAGUAGUAUGCCUCUUUUGUAACAAUAUGCAAAUUAUCAAUAAAAGAUGUACGAAAUAUGGUUGUGAUACUUCUUGUGAGAAUUGCCCUUAUCAUCUACUGAUCCAGGGAAUGAUACGAAUGACAUUCGGGGUAAAGGAGCAGCCCCCACAAUAGACUUUUACUCUAUGGCAUUUCCGCACGAUAGAGUUGCUGAAGGUAUUUCACCUUUGACUCUUUGGUGUUUUCAUUUUGGUUCCACACCACAAGAGACGUGAUCACUCAUUGUGUCACGAUUUCUUAUUAUGGCAUUUCAUCCAUGCAACGCAAUGCAAUGUUUGCACCUUGUCUCAUGAUUUUUAUUAUUGCAUUUCAGCCAUGCAACGCAAUGGAAUGUUUGCAGCUUGCAUAACGAUUUUUAUUAUGGCAUUUCGGCGUGCAAUGCAAUGCAGGAAUACAUGUAUGACAUGGAUGGAUAAAUGCAUGAGUGAAUGAAUGCUCUUGAGCUGAACCACUCUUUUUCAGUUAAAAUUAGCUCAUGUCGAAGACCAAUGGACCACGAAAGACAAAUCAUAUCGGAGUCCCACUUUUGAUAACCCCCAAAUGGUGAAGACCAAGUUAGAGAAAACCGUUUAUAUGGCGAUACCAUUUCCAAUCAAUAUGUGAUAGCCGAAGAGCCAUACGAUAACCCAUACGAAAACCGUUUGUCAUGGUGUCAACUUUAUAUGUUUUAAUCUCCUGAGUAUCCCGCACAAAUGUUGCAGGGUCAGUAUCUGGGUUCCAAUCAUCCUUUUCCUCUUCUGUUCUCCAGACAUUUAGUAGGUCACCCCAGGGAGCCAUAAUACGGUACGUGUUGUCACACAGUACAUUCUGUGCCAUUUCCAUAAUUGCUUUCAUUGUAACCACAUGGCCACUGAGAUCGAAAGCAUGAACUUCUCCGAUUUUAGUGAUCGCAUAACAAAUACCUACUGCGGAUGGGUUGCGCCGGGAGAGUUAACUUGUAGAUCCUCUUUCUCAGCAAGGCUGUACAGGCAUGCAACAUUCUCACCAGCAGAUUCAGAGGUGUAGAGCAAGCGUCUGUGACAGCUUAUACUUCCCAAGGUGGUGUAGGCGGAGCGCCAUGAGGAGCAGACAGAUCCUGCACGCACCAGGUCAGGGAUCUCAAGGGUGGCAAAUAUGCUUAUCAAGCCAUCAAGGUAUCCUGUGGCAGCUCCGGCAAUGGGCGCAGCACAGUCCCCUUCUGCGGUGGGUGGACAUGGACAUGUUGUCGGAAUUUCUUCAGUAGUAAGUUGGGACCGAUGCUUAACAAUCUGGGCAAAACUCUGAUUAUGAAACAGAAAAAAUCUCAUGUGCGAAUAGCUAGACUGGAUAGGUUCAGAAUCCCUGCUCUACUACAUGACUUCAUUGGAGUAAAAGCCCCUCUUGGAAGAUGAAAGUAGCUUCUCUGCAUGAAAUUUCUUACACUCAAUAGCGAAGUUGCCGCCUUGGAUGGAGCAGGCACACAGGCAUCAUGAUACAAAACCUUGAGUCAUCGGAUCCAUCUGUUGCCCAAAACUCGAGAGGGUUCGGACUUCAGGACUCGAAUCAAACUGGUUUGCUGCAGAAAUUCAAACGGAUUCCGUUUCCAGCCCCGAUUCCACGGAAAAAAAAUUAGGUGAGGACCGUCCACAUACUUCUCCCGUGCGGCCCCCUCCUGAUUUCUGCCGCGUGGGCGUCCAGCGCGAUCGUGCGAGGGAACUCCGCUGGGAACGGAAGCACGCGCUUGGCUCGGUCGCGCGGGAACGCCUGGGCUGCUGGCUCGCUCGGCUCGCUCGUUCGAUCGCUAGCUCCGUCGCUAGCUCACUCGCUCGGCUCAUCGUCAAAACUAGAUGGGAAAUAGAAACUAGCGCUAGACGAGGAACAGAAACCGUCGUCCGCCUGCGUUAAAACCUCCGCUAGAUGAGAACUGCGCCGCCUCUCGUCAAAACCUCCGCGUGAGAAUCCGUUCGUUGUCUGCCACUGCAUCCCUUGCGUGCCGCCGACGAUGCCACCGUUUUCCGGCGCCAUAGCCUAGGUCAGGAGAAGACAUCCUUGUACGAUCUUAGAUCGUGGCAUAGGAGGACAACCGCCAUAGAAAUCUUCGACAAGCAUCACAGCCGUAGCAGCCGUCAUGGGAGAAGGAGGUCAGGAGGAUACCAGUCUGCAUUCCACGAUAGGAGAAGCCUCCCCACAUAUCGCAGCUGCAAUGGCGGUAGGAAGCCAGGAGAAGGACAACGUUCUCGACUCAUCGCUUAUGGUGUCGUUUGUGCCUGCCCUAACACACAACGGAAUGCAGCCAACGCAGGUACAUAUUUUUUCACAUUUUUUGGUCAUCAUGACUUUUCACGUGUGUGCUUGACCGUGUUACAUGACCUCCAGCUCCACUAAUUUGUAUAUGCUAGAUUUCCUUUAAUUAAACUAAGUUAGCAAAUGUGUAUAAACGUUAAAUUCAGAAAGAAAAGGGGAAAACCUUUAACAUCUGCGUCUUCUGAAGCAACAUGGUGAGUGUUCUGCGGUGUCAAUUCAGUUAUAUCUAGAUCAGUCGCUGACACACUUCUCUGGAGAAACUCACCACUUGAUCUAGCAGUAUUUUCUGGCCCAUGAACUAGUUCCAGAUUAUCUAAUAAAUUUGUUGUUUUGGGAUUAGAGGGAGGGAUGCAAAAUAGCAUUCUCAUUCGUACAGUCAAAAAUCAAGAAAGCAUACCGUUUAUAUUUCUUUCUCCUGAAACAGCAUAGUGCUCUUCUAGUAUUGUGAACUGAGAUCUGAAUGGGUUAGUGUUGCCUUCAUUUGCUCGAGGGCGGUGGGGGUGGUCGGCGGCGGACGAAGGAGGAAGAUGGCGGCGGAUGACGGAGGACAACGGGGCCGGCCAGCGGAGGACGACGGAGGAAGACGCGCCGGCGGACGAGGGAGACGGUGGCCGGGGCGGCCGCCGGGCUCGAGGGCGGUGGGGGUGGCCGGCGGCGGACGACGGAGGAAGACGCCGGCGGACGAGGGAGACGGUGGCGGGGGUGGCCGCCGGGCUCGAGGGCGGCGGGGGUGGCCGGCGGUGGACGGAGGAGGAGGACGGUUGCGAGAUCUAGCAACUGGGCGGUACGCUUGCGAGAACCAGACGAACGAGCGAGCCGGGCGAGCUAGCGAUCGAGCAGGCGCGGAACCAGAGGAGCGAGCGAGCCAUGCGAGCGAGCUAGCCCCUGCGGAAAGGAGCCGAGCGAGCGAGGCGCGCGCGGAGGCGUCGAUCCGCCAGCGGACGAAAUCGAGACGGGGCCGCACAGCGAUGAAUUUGCGGACGGUCCUCACCUAUUUUUUUUCCGAUUCCGCGGGCACCGAGGAGACGGCAGCACGGCACUAACCGAUCGCUGGUUGAAAGAUUUGGCUGGCGAUGAGGAUCAAUCGCCGGCUUUUAGCUACAGCGUGGCUGGAGGCAAUCGAAUCGCCUAGUAUACAAAAUGAUUAUGUGGCGGGGGCUGAACGGGUUGGUUAAUAGCUCAGGAGAUUCAGGUUCCAUGGGUUGCUGCUGGGUCCGACUCCAUCAAAAAAACAGGGACGGGACCAAAACAUCUCAAAUCGUUCCCCAAUCCAAACACAUGCUAGACGAACGGCUGCUGGCUCAGCUAUGGUUACUGUGGAGAAAAGAGAAGGGGUUGCUGCAACCUUCAACGGUCGCGCGUCUGGGCAGAUAUCCUGCAAGUGCUGACUGUGAAGGGCAUCAGGGCCGGUCUGGAAUCUGUCGCAGUUGUAGUUGUAGCCAAACUUUUUGCUUUCCUAGGAGCCACUAGCAAAACAGAAUGAAACUGACAUAGUGAACACUCCAGCAUCAACCUUUCAGCUCAUACUCGAAGGCUCGUUGUUCCUUAUUUUGAAAAAAAAAAAACGGAAAUCGGGUCUAUUCUGUCAAGAAUAUGGUAUGUCUAUUCUGUCAAGAAAUCUGAAACCAUUAAUCUUACAGCAAGAAAUCGGGUAAUAUGGUAUCAAUUUCUAUUGUCGUUCACUACGCUUAUGGGGUACAAUGCAGCAAUGAAACAUCAUGGCCAUCAGAGCUGUUUGAGAUGGUCUUCAUGCCCAUCCGUUGCUAAUGAAUAUCUGCCACAUUUGCUUCCUGCCUCCUGAAAACUGACAGACAAGAGCAAAUAUACAAUUUCAGUCCACAGAAAUAGCAACUUUGAAAAAAAAUUCUCAUUAUUAGUCAUACGUGAAAUGACUGUUUACCUGACAUCCAUGCUGACAAUUUUAUGAUAUCAGCUACUUGCAGAUGUAAAGAGUUAGGUCUGAUCACUUUUGUUUCUUUUAGCCUGGCAGGCUUUCAAGGCUUGGACCUCUGUUAUGAAAAGGAAGUGACAUGUAUCUUGUUAGUGAAGAUAAUAUAAUGGUCUAGACUAUAUUAAGACUAUUACUAACAUCCAGAAUCUGCUAAACGUUUCUGUUCAAAAAAGCCAUGUCAACUGUCACAGGGCCACCAAUGCGACCAAAAUAAGAUUAGAUUCUGGUAGUGAUCUGAUAGUCAAGGCAAGCUGUUAAGGUCUGUUCUCCAUGCCCACUCAUUGAGAAUAAAUGCACUGCUCCAGAAUAUACAGUAGUACUGGAGCACCAUUUUGUGGUUUGUUUGAGGGCAGUCAAGCAGGGACAGUAGGAAGUUAGUCUGGCAAGAUUUACUAGACUAAGCCUUGAAUCCUAGAAUUGUCCACUUGAAGCCAGCUGCUGCACCCAUGUAAAUGCAUGAGCCAGGAUUUCGACAUUUAUGGAUUUCCCAUUAAAAAACGAUAUGGAAAAUAAGAGAAAGCCCAAGUACAAGAUAAAUGCACUUUAAUAGCAUAAAUCGAAACAAUGCUUUUAUUUUGCUCCCAAAACCCAAUGAAAAUGCUAAAUGUUAAUGACCAGUAGGAAUCAUGAUAUUCCUGGCACCUGUUAUAUGCAUCAUUUAUUAGCUUAUGUCACUGCCUUGGAUUAGAGUAGAUCUGGAAUGCGGUCUAAAGGACUAGAGGCAGAUAACAUGCAACCAUCCUUGGCAAUUAGGUCUUGAACUCUGUUCAGACAGAAUAUUAGGACCCAUUUAUUGUAUAAAUGUGGUCCAGACAACUUAUAUGGAUGCUUGAUGACCGUUACUCUCACCCUAUAGCAUAUAUCCUGAUGCAUGUCAGGGCAAAUCAUCACAAGGAAAAUGUAGUAAAAACUGAAGCAUAUGCAUAUCCUAAUUCUAAUACAAUGUAGUUCUUUUGCUCCAAACUUGUUUGUUCUCACUUUCACCUGGUAGGCCUUAUCCUGAACAUACUUUUUUUACUUUUCAUGCUCCCAAAAUGAACUCAAAGCACCCCUCAAACUUCAUGCUCGACCAGUUCAUCAGGGUUCAUUCCUCUAGCCAAGACAAAUUAGCCAACUCAAUCCUAAACUAUAUAACUAUAAUUACUGCGCUCUCAACUCAGUUCAUGAGGGACUUGCAAAUCAUGCACAUGUCAAUUAGCUGAAAGCAACCUUCUUAAAGACAUUUGGAUUUCCUUCACAGUACACAAUUCCUCGAAACUAACAAAUCUUGCUUCAGAAAAGAUAAAUCUGUGCUAAUAAAUUAGAGGGCUUACGUGCUUGGCAGGCCUUCCAGUUGCGGUUUGACUCCACAAGGCAGUCCUGCAAACAAAUAAUGGGAUCAAAAUCUGAGAGGCCUAAGAUUAGUAUAAGGAAACAAGCUACUUGUGAAUGGAGAAGGCCCAGGGGUGGGGAGAGGCCAGUGCCUGCAGAGAGAGAUAGAUCGUGGCGCACUCAUUAAGCUGCUUAACACUCUCGUCCUCCUCAUCCGCAUCUGUCACAUGUAAGGGCCGUUGGGACACUGACAGUGGCACAUUCCUAGUGUUGCUUGAGGAAGAUUCCAUUGCAAGCUUUGGUUUGGUUCAGUGGUGCCACCUCGAUGAGUCAGUUUUGGCCUUUCAAUUGCAGUCAAAUGGGUUGGACCUGUAAAAAUGCGCUAAAAUCUGUAAAGUUUAUUUAUGGCACCAUUUUAUCAAACAUUUAAAAAAGACUGAAAAGGAACUGCAAGAUGUUAGAGCAUUUUCUACAAACUACAGCUUUGCAAUAUUAAGAUACAACUUGAAUCAGACUUCUAAGGGGGGAAACAACUAUUUACACUGCUCUGCACUAUAUCAGCCAUUAGGGCGUGUUCAGGAGGGCUCCACUCUAGAAAUUUCACUGAUACUAUUAGGAUGCACUCCUCAGCGAGAAAUUGUAGAGAAGCUACAGUCCAUCACUCGUUCCAGCAGCGAGAAAUUGUAGAGAAGCUACAGUCCAUCACUCGUUCCAGACUUCCAACAGAGAGGAAAAAUAUUAUAGCUGGCUCAACUAGCGGGAUCCAUAUACUCUCAAUUCUAGAUCGAUUCCUAAGCACUACAAUGGAGAAGAAAAUCUAGAACCAUGAAAAUAAGGGGGGAAGAAGAGGAAGCAGGAGACAUACUGUGGAGGGGAGGGUCGAGGAGGCCACCGCCGCCUGGGAGUCGCGUAGGCCGCCGCCGCCGGAAAGGUCGCGGGCGUGGGGGGUGGGGCGCCGCUGGGGAGUCGCGUGGGCGGGGACGCCGCCAGGGAGUCACGCGGACGUGUUCCGCGUAGUUUUGGCCGGAGGGGCAAAAGGAUACUAGAUGCAUAAUAAUCUUUUGAUACUAAAUAUUUGACUCUUUUAAUGAUAAAUAUCUAAACAUUGAUUCUUUUGGUGGUAUGGAUCUAAUUUUUCCUAUAUUAACAGAUGUUGGUGCUGACACAAAAAUUAUAAUUUUUUUUCUCAGAACAGCGCAGACAAAAUUACAAACCGGCUACAAUAGUGUAAUUGCAAAAUUGGGAUCUUCGAGUAUUUCCCUAGGUAAAUCGACGGCAUGUAUACAGGAAAAUGACAAUCUCUUUUUUUUCUAGAAUACACAGGAGAACUGCACAUCAUUCCAUUAAGAAGAGAUAAAGUAUUAAUACAACGCGGGCCUAGUCCGGCCACACGCACACGGUAGAUAGACUGAGGGCCGAUUACACGGAGCUGGGGCUACAAAAAUGAGACCUUAAGAACUAACGUCACUGACUCACAAAACGCCAGCCUACGCUAAAAAGGAGAGCGUAAUUGGCAUGGGAGCAAAAAUUGUUGCUUCUGUCAUAAUCUUUUCUUUUCUUUGAAUGUUGUUUUGCUGGUGUUGUGUGGUUUGUUAUAUAUGCAGCGUCAGUUUUAUCUCAGCCUCAGUAGUGUUUCUAACAUGUUUGGAAGUUGGCUACGGGGUAUUGGAAAAGAUCAAAAGGUGCUAGUUCUGCUAGGAGCGGCUGCUACAUGUCGGUCGUUAUGGCUAUGAAAAAUGAUAUAAUCUUUGGGGAAAAAUAUAACUCUUCUCCCUGUUAUUUUCUGGAUUAUACACUGGCUUCGCAUGGUUAUAUUAUAGAAGCCGGCUUCACAUGAUUUGGUUGUUGCGGCAUCAUCGUAAUUGGAGCAGGUGGUCAAAAGAGUUUUUUUACCCGGACACAUGGGUGGCGGUUUAGUUUGAGGAUUGACCGUUAAUAGAGUGUUUGGGUUAUAUUCUGUAUUUUCUUUUUUUAGGCUGUGUGCAUCCUGCUAUACAGAGAUCAGAAGUGUUUUAAGGCAUUGUAUCCACUCGAUGCAAUGUUCUUAAAAUUAAUAAACGAUAAUGCUAUAGAGUAGAUAUCCGGAAUCAUUAAAAAAUCGGACGGCUCGACAUAUCGAUGUUGCAAUUAUUGUUUUCCGCAUGUUUCACAGUGAAUGUUGUAUGAAACAUAGUACUCAUGUUGCGGUGAGAAUUUUCUAUCCCAUGUCAAAUGACAUAGUCAUUUUUUCGCAUAUUUUUCAAUAUUACGACUAUAAAUUUUUAAUGUUGCCGAUGUUUUUUUACGUUGCAACGGAACGUCCCAUUAGAAAUUCCCAUCGGACGUCACGGCAUUAGCAGUGCCGAUUAAUAAAACUUCGUGCGGUGGACCGAGGCGGUGAAACUGGUUCCGAGCCCCCUUCUCCGCGCUUGCCUCGGACCUCAGCAGCUGCGCUUGAUGGCCGCCGAGGGUGUGAGUGAAUUAAGCUGAAUUUCAGCCACCCAGUUUCCAAUCUGUGAUGUACAUAAAUACAAUCUGCUCUGAUACAGCUUUUAUUGGAACAAGGGGGCGAGGGCAGUUUUCACUGAACGCCACAUUAGAACAGAAGCAACUCCUGGAACUUCGUUCACGUUAGAAUACAAGCUAUGGGCAACAUGAUAUUCUUUCAUGAUAAUAUGGAUAAAAAAAUCUCACAUCUGACAACUAUACAAAUGUUUUGAAGCCGCGCUUGUUGCUUCAUCUGACUUGAUUUGGUACUUUCUUUUUUCUUCAGAACAAGCACAGCUUUUAUCCAGGAGAACAUCUGUUGGGAUAUCGAAACCCAUCUAGACUGCCUAGCUUAGUCAACAAAAAUUUUCAGACUUCAGGUACAUCUAUUCAUCACUUAAAUGUGAAAGCCUUUGUCUUUUCAUACCCCCUUGGCCCCUGCAUAUACACAAGAUAUAAAAGGCUAUAUGCACUACCUUGGAACAUAUCUGUAAACUUGUUUGAAGUUAAUCAACAAAAUCUCAGGCAACCCCAGGGUUGCCGUUGUUUCCCUAAAAAAAACUACCUUGGAACAAACUAACCAAACAGUUCCCUCCAAAAGACUAGAAAAUUCUGAGGACCAAUGCUUCUCCCUUAGCAAAAGCUCUUCAAUCCGCCCUCUGCAGCCAGCCAUCCAAGCUGCACAGAAAGAAUAUGAUUAAACAUAUGUUAAGAUCUGAAUCCUGAAGGAGCAGACAACAAUAACAUGAUAAAGUACCUUCCACGCAUACAUCAGAAGAAAAGCAUGCCAUAAAUCUUUACUCCGACCUUUGCAGCCAUCCAAGCUGUGCAGAAAGCAUAUGAUUAAAGAUAUUUUAAAUACUGAAUCUGAAGGAGCAGAAAACAUUAGCAUGAGAAGUUACCUUCCAGGCAUACAUCACAAAGAAAGCAACUGUAUCUGCUGACCAGACAACUGCGAAGGAUUUCACAAAGAAUGGAAUUGUAACAUUGAUCAGGGGGAUCAGGAGAAAUAAGUAGUUGAGAGCCUCUUUCUCCUUGUUUGAGCAGUCACGGGCCCGAAGUGAAGGUAUAGCUGCAGAAGUAGAUAGCGCUCAGUUAAUAUACCGAGGAAAAGGCUCCUAUGCAAUAUGCAAUAAGUAACAAAUAUGAGUCAAAGCAUUUUGUAGAACAUGCCCACAAAGUUCUAAAUUCUUUUAACUCCAACAUCAACUGGAGGAAUUUUUGAUUGAAUGAUAGUGCUCAAAUAUUGUUUCCACCUUUCCUCAGUAGCUUCAAAUUGUAAGUGAACUGUCUAGUGCAUUUAACUCAAAUAAUGUAUCAGACUAUCAGAGCCUAGUCGCCUUAACUCUGAGACCUCGCUAAUGCAACUGUGGCCAAAUCUAGUCCAUUCCGUAGGCCUAAGGGCUUUCAAGCUUGAACCUGUUAGUGCAUCUAAUUCUAUGGAUAGCACAAAAGACUCUCCAGAACAGACCACAGCCAUGGAUCUUUCAAAUGGGUGGUAUUCCAUAUAUUACUAAAUCAAAUAGAAAUAAUUAUAUCUCAGAUUCUGAACAAUGGGUUGGCUUUCAGUUUCAUUGUCUACAAAUCAUAUCCAACCGUUCAAGUAAGGUAAUGGUUUGGCAAGAGAGAAAGAUCACAACAGGAAGAGAAGAUACUUCAAUCUGAGUUUCAGUGACCUUAUUUGUUUGUGUAGAAUGAAAUCAAACAUAUAUAAACCAUGGUAGUAAGCAAAAAUAAUGAUUUGGUGCUUUUUGAAGCAUUUAAUAUUACUUUCUUAGAAGAAAUGUUUUUUUGCUAUAGUAUGCAACACUAGGUACGCCCAAUUACCGAAUGCAAACACAGGCUGCAAUGGAUGUACUGCAAGACUGCAUCAUAAUGUUUCUAGCUAGUUAAACACUAUUUUCCCAUGUUUCGGAACAGGAAAUGUAAGGUCGGGACUAGUCAUUGUCAGUAAAAUGCUAAUCCUUACAGCUGAUAAAAACAGGGUUAUUAUUGAAUUCAAUACAAAUGGUAGUUAAAAUUAAUCCAGAGAAGCGUGGUAGAUAGGUCAUAUGUAUCGGCAAUUCAUUUAGCAGAAUUUAGCACUGCAGUGCAAUAAAGACAACAUAGGUUGAUGCGACACAAUAAAUCCAUCACUUUCUUAGGUUCUAGUAGACCGUAUCAAUGAAGUGAAAAACCAUGCUCUUACUAGGAACAUAACUUGCAAAAUCCUUACUUACUGAACAUCCAAAUGGACCACAUUCCCAUUAACCUCCAGAUGUCAGGCUCAUUUGAUGGGAAUACAAGAUUGAAGGAAAGGGCUCCGCCCAACAGCAUGGAGACAUAUCCCUGGACUUCAAAGACACUGUACAGAGUAGUUCCAGGAACAGCAGGGUUCUUUGUUUUUGUAGACGCCCUCGGUGCAAAGGUUGCCGCAGUCUUCUGAACUGCCUGUUGUUCAGCAACGUAUCACAAUUACAACCAGAAAUUAAUCAGCAAUUACACUGUGUUACACAAGCUGGAGGGUCACAAUUCACACACAUGUAAAAUUAGUUGAUUCAAUACUGAAUUAUGUUAACUGCAUCAGCAAAAGAUUGACCAAUUCUUUUAUGCAAAUCUUCUUAACUAUACUGUGCCGUAGAAAAUAAAAUAAAAUCUAGAUUGAUGGUAAAGCAUCUACAGCAACUACUCCUUCCUAGUACAAAAAUUGCAAGGCAGCUCUUGUGGCAUAACCGCAUAAGUGUCAAACAAACCUUCUUGAGCUCCUUUUCGAUCUUGGGAUCGACAGGAGGCGGCUGCUUCCCUGCCGAUGAGUCAGCCGAAGCAACCCCCUCCCCGCCGCCGCCUUCCUCCCGUUCCAAGCUGUCUCCCACGGUAGACGCCUGAGCCGCCGCAGCACCGGAUCCCGAACCAUCGGUGCUUGCGCGCGCUAAAGUGAGCUUCCUCCGCCUCCAGCCCGCCCUUCUCCAGGAGAGCGUGGCCGACGGUGGCCGCAGUGCGGCUGCCACUGGCAGAAACGCGCAGCCGCCGCGGCCGCUGACCGGGUUGCUUACCAACAGUUGCAUUGCUCCGGAGGAUUAUGUGGAAGAGGAGGGAGAGGGGAAGGGAUGGUGAACCGUUGGUUCUCCCGCCUUCACCCAGCGGAUGGCAGUGGAGCCCGCUUCCGAUAUUUCUAUCCCGGCCCAUCAUUUGUUUUUGUUUUUUUGCAAGACGGGAGAAGAAUAACCGCAAAAUCUAGCUGCCGUCUUAUCCGAGCUCCAGCGCCUCCUCCCACCACAGAUCUAGCGCAGCGAGCAGGACGGGCAGCGCAGCGCGGCAGGCUCGCGACCAGGAAGGGCGCGCGGCAGGUGCGGAUGGCGGCGAGCAGGAAGGGGCGCGGGAGGCGACGAGCAAGAAGGGGGCGUGGCAGGCGCGGUAGGCGGCGAGCAGGAAGGGGGGCCUUCCACUCGUGAACAGGUCAAUGAUAAAACGUGGCCCAACUCCCCAACAUCCAAUCUAGAAACCACCACCGACCCACCAAAACACAGUCCAGCGGAGCCCCGUGCCGCCCUCGGCCCAAGCCCACGGACCGGGCCCACGCUCACGCUCACUGAGUCUCCGACGCCGCCGCCGACGUGGAGGUGGCGCACCUCCCGUCUCUCCGUCCGUCCCUUGCCGUAUUCGGCGGUUCGAUUGCCUGCAGCCGUGCAAUCACAGCACUGGCUGGAUGCGAGGCGCGCGGUGGUCCGGCGGUUGCUCCUCCUCACCUCCAGCUCCAGCUUGCUGACUGUUAGUGCCCCGUCUCUUCUUCGGUCUUUGCGGAAUCGGGGUCGGAAGCCAACAGAAGUUCAAGUCGGAAUAACCUUUUUGCCUCGGAGUGAAACGGAUUCCGGUUAAGCUGUUCUUGGCUUCCGGUAGCCGUGCGGUUCCGGCCUGGAUUCGGAUGCCCUCUUCGUCUGCUCCGACAAGGAGACUUCGGAGGGCGGAAGCUUCCCUGUGCCUGUUCCAUCAAAGCCUGCAACUUUGCAAGUGUUCCUGCGGAGAAGCAUUCAACCUUCCAAUGGAGACAUGUAGCAAAGCUAGGAUUGUGAGCCUUUGGAGUCUAGCUAUACACCCAAGAAAUAUGUUCUCUCUGAUCUUCAGAGUUUUGCCUAAGUUGCUUCGUCAUUCUACCGGUAUAUUGCUGAAGAAAUUCCGAGAAGAUGGGCACGUGCUGAUGAUAGAUCAGAGAUGCACCUCGUCAAUCUGAUCACCAGUGAACAGAUCACUCUCCCUUCAGUGGUCACUAUCGAGCAUGUGAAGCCCAUCUUCGAUAAGUAUGGAGUUGUUGAAAAGUAUGAAUACUCACGCCACACUGCAAGGAAACUUUCGCAUCCAGAUCGCACCUUCGAUAAGUUUUGAAGUGGUCCGAAAGUAUGAACCCACUGAAAGGGAGGUUUAUUACGAACCGUCAAUCUAUGCUCUUGCCAAGCUGCGGGAAUUUCUCCGGUGUAAGGCUUUUGUGUACCCUGAGACUUCCAAAGGAAGCUAUAUUGUUGCGCUCAUCCAUAAUCCGAUGAAGCAGCUCUCAUUUGCAAGGCCCGGAGAUGGGAAGUGGACUUGGCUUCCACCAUACAUUUACUAUCAGGAUUGCAGUUACAAGAAUGGCUUAUUGUAUGCAAUCAAUAUAGUGGGAGAAAUCCAUGCCUUUGAUCUCAGUAGCUCUGUGGUCAUGAGGAAGAUGAUUAUGGGAAUGACGGAGAAGGUAAUGUGGGACUGCUUAUACAUCGUUCACGCUCCGUGGGGUGAUCUGUUGAAUGUUUCGAGAGUGAUAGACCAUGAGGAUGAAACUGUUGACCCCGCAGUUCAUUUGCUGACUACUACUGAGAUUAAAAUAAAUAAGGUUAAUAUUACGGCAAAAAAAAACUUGAGGAAGUUAAAUGCCUGCAUGAUCGUGGGUUGUUUCUUGGGCAUAACCAAUCUCUUUGCCUCAGCGCCAAAGAUCAUCCUCAUCUGAAGGCAAACCAUGCCUACUUUACGGGCAAUUAUGACUUGUAUAUUAAUGGAUUCAAGAAUGGUCGUCGUGACAUAGGAGUAUUCAACUUGGAGAGCAGCAACUGGCACUACCGGAAACAGUUAUUUUGCCGAGUGCCCCAGGCACUCGGCGAAGGCCCCAUGCCGAGUGUAACACUCGGCGAAGUCUACUCGGCAAAGUUUUCCUCGGCAAACAGGCUGUUUGCCGAGUGUCAAUCGUCAGGCACUCGGCAAACCUUUUGCCGAGUGCCAAAAUACACUCGGCAAAAUUAAACACUCGGCACAAAGAUGUUAACGGUCUGUCACGGCAACGGAAGCUUUGCCGAGUGUCUGACGGCCGACACUCGGUGAAGAUGUUAGGUUUGCCGAGUGUAUUCUUAAAGGCACUCGGCGAAGUCUACUCGUUUGCCGAGUGUAUUUUGGCCAAACACUCGGUGAAAAUCCAUGGAUCGCCCUCGGCGAAGAAGCCCCACCCGCCAUUUUUAUUUUAUCAUUUGCCGAGUGCAUUUUUUGCCAGACACUCGGCAAAAUGGAUAAUUUCACCGAGUGCCACGGGGUAGGCACUCGGCGAAGAAGCCCGGCCCGCUAUUUUUUUAUGACCCCUUUGCCGAGAGCUUUUUUUCAAAACACUCGGCAAAAUGACCCUGUUUGCCGAGUGCCCCUGUGGCACUCGGCAAACAAGCCCUCCCGCCAAAAUGUAUGACCCCUUUGCCGAGUGUUUGGCGAAUACACUCGGCAAACCCGUCUACUAGUACCAGAAAUGGCCUCUUUGCCGAGUGCCUACUACAAAAUAGAAAUGUUAGGUAUAAAGGACCCCUCUCAAAAAACAACCACAGAAGCACAGGCAUAUUAAUUGCACCACAAGCAUAUAAAUUGCACCACAGGAUUCACAAGCACACAAAUAGCAUUCAUAAGUUCUCGUCUAAAGAAGUAAUUCACAAGUUUUGCAUCACAAACACAGAAAUGACAAGUCACUGAGGAGGAUGAGGAGGACGUGCAGGUGGCCACUGCCCCCAGGAAGAUUCUGCAUUGGACGUCGCCAAUUGAUUCUGCAGAAAUUUAGUUAAAGAGAUUUCAUAGUCUAAACAAGUAAUUCUAGUGGAAGUUUGUAGUGCCUGUAGUUUCUAGUUUAAGUCUAGAUUGAUUGUAAGGUUGAGAUUGACUCACAGGAGUAGCUGCAGGAGGUGGUGGAGGUGGCGGGAAGAGGUUCGGUGGCAUAGGUGGUGGAGUUUGACCUAAACUGUGGAAAAUACUCUGCAUGUAUUGGAACAUCUGCUCCGUCCUCUGCCUUUCAAGCUGCCGAUCCGCCUCGAUCCUCGCCUCUAGUUCCUCCCGGCGCUUCCGUUCUACCUCCACAUGGGCCUACAAUAUUUCAUCCCAACCACUUAUUGUCAAGCAAAAGGUAAGUACAAAAUGAAUGAAAAAUUAAAGAAACAGAAAUAACCUGCAGAGCCUGCAUCUGUAGCUGUGCAGCGGUAGGCCGUGGCCGUAUCGCGGGGCUCGAGUCCGUGCUCCUUGCUCGGAUCUGGGAGAGAGUGGGAGUACUGGCAGUAUCGAUCACGCUAUCUCCAAUCCAAUACCUGCCAUGCUUCUUCCCUCCUCCUACCCUCAUCACUAUUUCAGCAUCGAUAUCCUGAGAGCUCGGAUCGAACUCUGGCCCGUGAACCUCCCUCGCCAUGGCUGUGUACUCGGUGACGCGGCUGUGGAUGCUGGGAUGGCUGUACGCCUCGGUCGGGUCCCCCGGGUUGAAGUCGAUGUCUGUCCGGUAGUGUGGGACAAACUUGUCUCUCCUGAGCCUUGGUCCAACUGGCCUCCUCUCAUGUGCAUUACACUCAGUCUUGUAAAGAUGAAGAUGAAAUGAGCUAUGAACAGAUUGCUCUAAGUUUUUUAAUAUGUAGCCCCCAACAACUAUAUGUAGUUUUUGACUGGGAUGUAAGGCAUCAUGUCUAUUAUGUCAUGUAUGGCCGUACGUAUGCCAGGCGUAGACGCGCCCGCGACGUACGCCGGGCAGCUGAGCACGCUGGGCAGGCUCUGCCAGGAUCCAACUCUAGCGACUAAAGAUAGAAAGUUAGACUAGGAAACUUUCAAUUAAGGAGAAUCUUCUCCAUUUAGUUGGGCCAUUGGCCAUAUAUAUACUCAUGUAAUCGCUGGGCAAUGGGCAAGCAAGAAUUAUAUCUCUAAUCUUCCUUUCUCUGUUAAAGCCUACGGCCGAGGGGAAUAACCUCGCCGGAGAAGAUGGCCCACGGCUACGAGCUACGUAGCCGCGGUCCGGCCAGUCGGGGCCUCGACGCCCUUGACAACCUGGUAUCACGGUCACGACGGUCCUCUCCCACCCGCUCCACCCCGUCUUCCACAGCCGCCGGCCUCUACACUAACCCCCCACCAUCUCCGCACUCCUCCAUUGCCUCCGCGCCGCCGCCGUCAGCCAUGGGCGAUCCCACCCUCGCUGAUGUGAUGGAGUUGUUGAAGUCCCUCACCACGGAGGUGACAACCCUGAAGGCUGACAUGGCGGCUAUCAAGGAGAAGCCCUCCUCGUCAUCGACCAGUGCCGCCGGGGGCCGUCCGGACGGGCCGCGCGAUCCUGAGCGCCCCCCCCCCCAAGUUCCACAAAUUAGAUUUUCCCCGCUACGACGGCAAGACCGAUCCGCUGCUCUUCAUAAACAGGUGUGAAUCCUACUUUCGUCAACAGCGCACCAUGGCGGAAGAGCGCGUAUGGCUGGCCUCGUAUCAUCUGGAGGACGUCGCGCAACUCUGGUACACCCAACUCCAGGAGGACGAGGGCCCACCGCCGUGGGGGCGAUACAAGGAGCUCCUGCACCUGCGCUUGGGGCCUCCCCUCCGCUCGGCUCCGCUGUUCGAGCUCGCUGAGUGCCGGCGUACAGGGACGGUGGAAGACUACUCCAAUCAUUUUUAGGCCCUCCUGCCUCGCGCCGGCCGACUGGAUGAGGCUCAGCGCGUCCAGCUCUUCACGGGGGGUCUCCUGCCGCCGCUCAGCCACGCCGUCCGCCUCCACAACCCGGUGACGCUCGCGGCCGCCAUGAGUCUGGCACGCCAAGUCGAGCUAAUGGAGAGUGACCGCUCGGCGCCGCCUCUCCCUCGGGCGCCUCCGCGCAGCCUCCUUCCUGCUCCCGCGCCCAGGCCGGCGCUUCCAGCGCCCCAGCAGCCGCUGGCGCUCCCUGCCCCUCCGAUGGCCGCCCAGCAGGGCCGCGGCGACGGAAACCAGAGGCGCCUCACCCCCGACGAAAUGGCGGAACGGCGCCGUCUGGGCCUCUGUUUUAACUGCAAUGAAAAAUACACACGGGGCCACAACCGGUUUUGCCGGCGCCUCUUCUUCAUUAAAGGCGUGGAGCUCGAGGACACCGGGGACGCCGCUGAUGAUGAGGAGCAUGACGCCGAGGCGCCGUGUUUUUCCCUGCAGGCUGUGGCUGGGGUGCCCAUGGCGAGCACUAUGCAGAUCGCCGUGGUCCUCGGCACCGCGUCCUUCGUCGCCCUUCUCGACUCUAGCAGCACGCACAACUUCAUCUCGGAGGAGGCGACGCGGCGCUCGGGUCUGUCCCCCCACCCACGUCCCCGCCUCACAGCCUUGGUCACCAAUGGCGAGCGGGUGACCUGCGCCGGCGUCAUCCGCAACGCGCCCCUACUCAUCGACGGCGAAUCAUUCCUGGCCGACCUCUACGUUAUGCCACUGGCUGGGUACGACGUCGUCCUUGGCACCAAGUGGCUCGGCGAGUUAGGACCCAUUGUCUGGGACCUCGGCCACCGGCGCAUGUACUUCCUGCUCCAGGGGCGCCUUGUCUCCUGGACCGGUGUGGCCAGCUCGUCUGUGCCGACCCUGAACGCUACAACAGAGGCAUGUUCUCUCUUGGAGGCGCUGUUGCUCUCCUUUGAGGGGCUCUUCGCGGAUCCCGUCGGUCUUCCUCCCAAGCGCACGCACGACCACCGCAUCCUUCUCAAGGCCGACGCCCAGUCGGUCGCCGUCCGCCCUUAUCGGUACCCUGCGGCGCACAAGGACGAGUUGGAGCGGCAGUGUGCCGCCAUGCUGGAUCAAGCAAUCGUCCGCCGCAGCGACUCACCAUUCUCGUCCCCCGUCCUCCUCGUCAAGAAGCCCGAUGGUUCAUGGCGCUUUUGCGUCGACUACCGCGCGUUAAACGCGCUCACCGUCAAGGACGCUUUUCCGAUCCCGGUGGUUGACGAGCUCCUCGACGAACUCCAUGGCGCCAAGUUCUUCUCCAAGCUGGACCUCCGAUCCGGGUACCACCAGGUGCGCAUGCGCCCAGAGGACGUACACAAGACGGCGUUCCGCACCCAUGAUGGCCUGUACGAGUUCCUUGUGAUGGCGUUUGGGCUGUGCAACGCCCCGGUGACGUUCCAGGCCCUGAUGAACGAUGUGCUCCGCCCAUUCCUUCGCCGCUUCGUCCUGGUAUUUUUUGACGAUAUUCUGAUUUAUAGCAGGACGUGGGCUGAUCAUCUUCGCUACCUCUGGGCCGUCCUCGACGAACUACGCCGCCACCACCUGUUCGUGAAGCGCACCAAGUGCUCCUUUGGGGCCUCAUCCGUCGCUUACCUCGGCCAUGUCAUAUCCGCGCCCGGUGUGGCCAUGGACCCGGCCAAGGUGCAGGCAAUACACGAUUGCCCCCCCCCCACGUUCGCCCCGGGCGGUGCGUGGUUUCCUCGGCCUCGCCGGCUACUACCGCAAGUUCGUCCACAACUACGGGGCGAUCGCUGCUCCUCUGAUGGCCCUACUUAAGAAGGAGGGUUUCUCCUGGGACGACGCGGCGGCUGCGGCAUUCACAGCGCUCAAGGCCGCCGUCACGUCCGCCCCAGUCCUUGACAUGCUCGACUUCGCCAAGAUGUUCACCGUUGAGUGCGACGCGUCGACGGUGGGCUUCGGCGCAGUCCUGGUCCAGGAGGGUCAUCCGGUCGCCUUCUUCAGCUGGCCCGUGGCUCCUCGCCACCGCUCGUUGGCCGCAUAUGAGCGCGAGCUCAUCGGACUUGUCCAGGCGGUCAGGCACUGGCGUUCGUAUCUCUGGGGGCGGCGUUUCAUCAUCAAGACCGACCACUACAGCCUGAAGUACCUCCUUGACCAGCGCCUCGCCACGAUCCCUCAGCACCACUGGGUAGGCAAGCUGUUGGGCUUCGAUUUCUCGGUGGAAUAUCGUUCGGGCGCCACGAACAUCGUCGCCGACGCCCUCUCCCAUCGCGACAAUGACGACGGCGCACUGAUGGCUAUUUCGGCACCCCGUUUUGACUUCAUCGAGUGCCUCCGUCACGCCCAGGCCAGUGAUCCGGCCUUGGUCACCAUCCACAACAAGGUCCGGGCUGGCACCCGCACCACGCCGUGGGCGCUGCUGGACGGCAUGGUCGCCUUCGAUGGCCGCUUGUACAUCCCCUCGGCUUCCCCGUUGUUGCAGGAGAUCAUGGCAGCGGUCCAUAACGAUGGCCAUGAGGGCGUCCACCGUACCCUCCACAGGCUCCGGAGGGAUUUUCAUUUUCCAUCCAUGCGUCGAUUGGUGCAGGAUUUUGUGAAGGCCUGCGUCAUAUGUCAGCAGUACAAAUCCGACCACCUUUGGCCGGCCGGUCUGCUGCAGCCUCUGCCGGUCCCAUUUGCUGUGUGGGCUGACAUUGGCAUCGACUUCAUCGAGGCGCUGCCCAAGGUACAAGGCAAUACGGUCAUCCUCUCCGUCGUGGAUCGCUUCAGCAAGUAUUGCCAUUUCAUCCCCCUAGCGCACCCCUACACUGCCGAGUCUAUCGCCUACGUAUUCUUCGCCGACAUCGUGCGGCUCCAUGGCGUUCCGCAGUCCAUCGUCUCAGACCGCGAUCCCAUGUUCACCUCGGCGUUUUGGCGGGAGCUCAUGCGGCUCACAGGGACGAAGCUCUACAUGUCGUCCGCCUUUCACCCACAGACGGACGGCCAGACCGAGGCUGCCAACCGGGUCAUCGUAAUGUACUUGCACUGCUUCACCGGCGACCGUCCCCGGCAGUGGCUCCGUUGGCUGCCAUGGGCUGAGUACACGUACAACACCGCCUAUCAGUCCUCGCUCCGCGACACUCCGUUUCGUGUGGUCUAUGGCCGGGACCCCCCGACCAUCCGCUCCUAUGAGACCGGCGAAACCCGCGUCGCCGCAGUCGCCCAAGAGAUGGAGGAGCGCGCUACCUUUCCUCGACGACGUCCGCUAUCGCCUUGAACAGGCUCAGGUGGCCCAGAAGCGCGUAUACGACCAGCACCACCGGCCGGUCUCAUUCCAGGUCGGCGAUUGGGCUCUCCUUCGUCUACGGCAGCGAGCAGCAGCGUCCCUCCCACGCUCGGCCAAAGGGAAGCUCAAGCCGCGCUAUGUCGGGCCGUACCAGGUGACGGAGCUCAUCAAUGAAGUGGCUGUGCGGCUCCUGCUUCCUCCCGGUGCUCGUCUUCAUGAUGUAUUUCACGUCGGCGUCCUCAAGAAAUUCGUAGGCUCCCCACUGGCGGUUCCUCCGCUCAUGCCUCCGCUCCUACACGGUGCUGUGGUGCCUACCCCAGCUCGGGUGACUAGUGCUCGACUGGCCCGUGGCGUCCGCCAGGUGCUCGUGGAAUGGCAGGGAGAACCUACUGCUUCGGCUACAUGGGAGGAUCUGGACGACUUCCGGGCUCGGUUCCCUUCCUUUCAGCUCGAGGACGAGCUGGACUUCGAGGCGGGGGAGAUGUCAUGUACGGCCGUACGUACGCCAGGCGUAGACGCGCCCGCGACGUACGCCGGGCAGCUGAGCACGCCGGGCAGGCUCUGCUAGGAUCCAACUCUAGCGACUAAAGAUAGAAAGUUAGACUAGGAAACUUUCAAUUAAGGAGAACCUUCUCCAUUUAGUUGGGCCAUUGGCCAUAUAUAUACUCAUGUAAUCGCUGGACAAUGGGCAAGCAAGAAUUAUAUCUCUAAUCUUCCUUUCUCUGUUAAAGCCUACGGCCGAGGGGAAUAACCUCGUCGGAGAAGAUGGCCCACGGCUACGAGCUACGUAGCCGCGGUCCGGCCAGUCGGGGCCUCGACGCCCUUGACAUAAUACAUGACACACAGUAAACUGCAUCCAAAAUUUUGCAGCUUCUCCUACAGUCGUUCUCUACCUUCCGAAAAUCAAUCUGUCUUCAUUACUUUCAUCUUCUCCUUGUACAGUUCAGCUUCCACCAACCUAUAUGCAGUCAUCAUCAAGUUAGAUAAAAAGGUUAAUUGAAAAGACAACCAUAUCAAUUUGGCCUACAAUGGUUGUUUUUUUAUAAAAAAUAAUAUGACGGUUGUCAAUUUGGGCCUACGACGGUUGGCAAAUGAACUCACCUGUCUGAAGCGCGUGGCAGAAGUGAGCGUGCAGCAAGAGCUCACGUGGCGUUCCAACUCGAACCUUGCAAGUCUCGCACGGAAAUCCAGGUGUCUUGUGCACAUCCACGAAAUGCAGAAGUAUAUUUUGAGGAAAUGCAAGCCGAUCAAUGCUAUGAAUCUAUCUGCAGAACUAGCUAGUUUCAGAACACAAUAAACACCUCUAAAUACUCACAACAGAGAGGGGGAACUAGACUGUUUUCGACAGUAGUCGUGCGGCUCAAAAAUACACCUGUGCCACAGGAUUCUCUUGCCACAAGUUAAGCUUUCCUGACAGUAGCUGGCAAACAAACAAAACUCCUGACCCCAAACAGGCUCGUCACCGGCCACUUAGAAAUAAAUGAAAAAUACCUGACAAAUUAGUCAUCAUAGAGCUUGGCAAUGCACUAGAAAGCACAAAAACUACAAUUUGAACACAUUUUUUUGAGUGAUGUCAGAUUAGCAACCAUGAUACGAUUUUAAGGAUAGAAAUGCAAACUUGAAUUUGAACAAUAUUUGCUAGUUUCUUGGAUCAUCAACCAAGACAUAAUUUCAGGGUAAGAAAUGCAAACUGCAAUACUGCAAAAUUUCAAAGAAAGAAAUUUAAACUACAAUCUAUACCCAUUUUCUUAUAGGCUAUUUGAUCAGCAACCAAAGCAUGAUUUCAGUGGAACAAUUGCAAACUGCAACCCAAACCCAUUUACUCGCAGGUUAUUGGAUCAACAUCCAAGACAUAAUUGCAGGGAAAGAAAUGCAAAGUAGAAUCUGAACACAUUUUCUUGCAGGUUACUGGAUCAAGAACCUGGGCAUGAUUUCAGAGAAAGAGAUGCAUACUUGAAUCGAAACACAAUUCCUUGCAGGUUAUUGAAUCAACAGCCAAAACAUAAUUUCAGAGGAAAAAAAUGCAAAAUGCUGUCUAAAUACAUUUUCUCACUGGCUACCAGAGCAGCGACCAAGACAAAUUUCAGAGCAAGAAAUGCAAUCUGCAAUCUAAGCGCAUUUACUUCAGGCUGUUAAAGCUGAACAGCAACCGCGGCACAAUUUCAGAUUAAGAAAUGCAAGAGUCGGAUUACCGGUGGGAGGGCCGGGGUGGGGGCCGAGCCGGCGGCUGUGGCGUUGUUGGAAUCCUGCGACUCGGGCUCAUCGCUGCGGCGUACCUGCGGCGCCGGAUCAUUGUGGCGCGCCAGCUUGUCGCUGCGGUGUGCCUUGGGCAGCUUGCCGUACAUGAAGGCGUAAUUGCGCUGUCCCCCGUUGUCCUCGUGCCGUCCGCUGCGCUCCAUGGCGACGACGACACCGGCGGCGGCGCCGUUGCUUUGGCGCCUCAGCAAGAAGAGCACGCGGCCGACGCCGUACACGAAGCCGCACGCGUACAUCCAAAUAUACCGGACCACGUCCAACCAACGCGCGCGCCGCGGCGGAGGCUCCUCGGCGGUGGUGGCCUCCUGCGCCGGCGGCGGGUCGGACGCCCAACGGCUCGGCGAGCUUAUCGGCUCGGGCUCGGCCCUCCUCCUCCCAAGCCUGCUCCAUGGGCGUUCUUGAUCAACCCUGCAGGGGCGUUCUUGAUUCAAGAACUCUGCAGGGGAGUUCUUGAUUCAAGAAAGGCAGCGAGCCUCGAUUGCUGCAGGGAAGCGGGGUGGGGAGGUUGCGAGGAGGAAGGCGAAGCUUCUUGUUCGGCAAUGGACGUGGUGGAAGGGAGAAGGCAGAGGAGGGCGAGGGGAUUCUUGUUUUCGUGGGGAGCAGGGCGCGGAGGUUCGGGGUUUAUAUUGAUGUUCUUGGAGCGUGGCGUCGGGUGGUUGGUUGGCGGUGUUCAGGCACGAGGGGCGGAGGGAGUGCGAGAGGCGGCGAGGUUGUUUCGUUUCUUGAAUCGGUGAGGGAUGCGGCGAGGGCCGGCCGGCUGCAGCUUUUGAAGAGGAGGGAGGGAUGGAGGGAAGAAGGGGAGGAUCGAAUUCGGAUGAAGGGGGGAAGAGUCGGUUCCUGUUGUUGGCCGUUAGCUCUGACAGCUAUGGCCGUUCCCACAUAAUUUGGCCAAGGUAAAUGUCCAGACAGUAUUUUUUUUUUUACAUUUGACGUGCCAGCGAACAGGUAUACUUGAAAGAAAAAUGUACUUUUCAGUAAUGUUAAUAUUGUUUGUGAAUUGAGAUUCUCAAUCCCAUGUUGCUACUUGCCUUCGCCAUUUCCCAACACUUUGCAUGAUAUUUGCAUUUUAUCCCCAUCAAAGGCUUAAAGCUUCUUAACGUGCGAAUAAGUGUGCUCACAGUUCCUAGAUAAAACAGUAGGACAGGAGUUGCGCAUAUAAUCAUUUACAGCAGAAACUUUAUUGAUUUGUCGACAAGAUCACCACUUGCGACUAAAAAUUACUGAUAAAGCAUUACAGUUACAGGCACAUUCAGACGUGCGAAUAAGUGUGACAUGUACUGUUGUUUGCACCUCCUAGAUAAAGCAGUAAGACUGGAGUUGCACAUGUAAUCAUUUACAGUAGAAGCUUUAUUGAUUUGUCGACAAGAUCACCAUUUGCAAGUGAAAAGCAUCACAAUUACAGGCAUAUUCAGAUAUUAUCAGAAGAAUUACAACUUUCAUCUGGCUACAUUGUCAAAGCAACCAACAAAGGCCAAGCUCCCAUUCUGCCGUUGGUGUUCAUCUGCCGUCAGGCUUCCUCUGAGGCUGGAAUGAACUUGAGUGAAAUGCUGUUAACACAGUGUCGCUCAUUGGUAGGCGUUUUAAACCCUUCCCCUUUGAAUAUAUGCCCCAAAUGUCCUCCACAGGCAGCACACGUGAUCUCUGUCCGCCUCCCAUCAGGGUCCGGCUAGUGUUGAAAAACAAGAUUGGUUAAUUAGAGGAGGUCAGAGAUCAAUGAUCAUUCCUCAUCCUGUGUGAAACAGAGAAUAGUACAUACCGUCUGUCUUAUGGCCCCAGGAAGUCCCUCAUAGAAUGCCGGCCAGCCACACCCUGAGUUGAACUUUGUAGAUGAUUUGUAUAAGGGAGUUCCACAUCCAGCACAUUCAUAAAUGCCCUCAUCAAAGAACUUGUCAUAUUCACCUGUUCCAGGGUACCUGGGAUCAGAUGAUCAAAUGGAUUCAGAACAGUUACGGCACCUGUUAAUAGUUUAGCAGAGAAACAUCUUUACCACACCAUAUACCAAACAUCAGUCAGAAACUAAUAGUUCUACCAUGCUCCCAUGCUAUAACAAUUUGGCACGUAACAACGACUUGCAUGCUACAGACACAAAUGCAUGCUUGCCUUUUGAAACAAACUAAUGGAUUGCCCUACAUUUUAGCAAUUCAUAUUUUAUAACAGCAGAAAAUGGUGGUGAUGUCAAUAGGUCAGAUACCAGAUACAGAUAUUUAGGAUUGCAGCAACACUCACAAAAAAUAACUCGGGAGUAGUUAGUUUAUCAAAUAGUUCACAACUUUUCUCAAGCUCCACACUCAAAAUAUACACCAGAAAUCUUAACAAUUUAUGAAUUCUAAGGUACUUGCUAUUAUUAGUUUGCAUCCAUAGCCGCUAAUUGGCUACUGACUUACUGAGAUGUUAAAAGCUGCAAUUGGACUACAAAGGAAAUGAUUUUUCUCCAUCUUGGUUUAUUGCAAUGACAAGACAACAUUUUUUUUCUAUAUUAUAACACCCACAGUUAUCCAGGCUAGCCUAAAUUAUAGAAUCUCUCUGGAUUUGUAAAAUAACCUUCACAAGAUGGUAAUAACCAACACCUUUUGUGAUGAACUUUAAUGUGCAGCACCAGUUGCUACGGAGUACCAUUAUGUAAAAUGUUAAAUGUGGCUAGCUUGUUAGUUGAAGUAGAUGCUUUUGUUAGCAGUCUGGUAAAUUGCUAGCCACACAGUCCUUCUUUGAACAACUUCAUCAGCAUUUUCCAGCUAAUUACAAAUUUUCUUCAACAUUUUACAAGCCAGCUACCAAUGUACUAUGCAAAUACUAGUAGAAAAUCAGAAUCAGGUUCUGCAGUUAAAUGCACGACGCUGACAUGCAGGCGGCUAGCUAUCGAUUCAGUGAUAUGUUAUAACACCAAAGCAUGGUGCUGUGCAUUUCUAGGAGAUCUUUCUUGAUGCUUAUGCAAUUGAAUUCAACUUGGGGUUGAUCAGUAUCCAGGGAUUAUCCGAUUUGGUCACUACAGUCAACAACACAUUACCCAAGUUCAGUAACAACAGUGAAGGACAAGAGAUGUGACCGUAUGCCGUCCAAAUCUUACUCUGUGCCCUUGCGGCGGAGGAUGUUGAACUGCUCCGGCGUGAGGAUGGCCUGCCACUCCUCCUCCGACUUCUGCACGGGCGCCGGCGGCGGGGUCGACGACGACAUCGCCGCCACGCCCGGGAACCGCCGUCCCGCCGCGUGGCCCCGGCACGGCCGCGCCGCGCACGAGAGGGGCGCGGGCCGAGGGCGCGCGGCGGCCGGCGAGGGGGCGAGGAGGAAGGAGGAGAGCGGGCGCGCGGCGCGCGGCGCCACGGCGGCGGGGUGGGGGCACGAGUGCGACGCCAUCCUCAGCCUCAGCAGACGCUGCACGCCCAUGUCUCGCGGCAGCAGUGCGCGGCGCAAGUGUGACGUGUCGCGUUCGUUGCCUGAUAAGGUUCUGGUCUUCCGGACUCGUCCUCUGGUUUCCGAUGGAAUGGAGGCACGACGCUGCAGCUGGCCAGCUACAAUAUUUCCUUGAAAUUAUUUUUUCCCCUUGUUCCUUUAUUCUUUUUAGUUGUUUGACUGAUCAGCCUUGAGAAAUCUGGAAAGAAACUAAGGGCAUAUUUGGACGCGACGUUAUCAACUUUAGGACAUGUCACAUCGGAUGUUUAGAUACUAAUUAGAAGUAUUAAAUAUAAUUUAAUUACAAAACUAAUUACACAGAUGGAGUCUAAUUUGCGAGACGAAUCUAUUAAGUCUAAUUAGUCCAUGAUUUGAUAAUGUGGUGCUACAGUAACCAUUUGCUAAUGAUGGAUUAAUUAGGCUUAAUAGAUUCGUCUCGCGAAUUAGUAUAGGGUUCUGCAGUUAGUUUUAUAAUUAGCUCAUGUUUAGUCCUCCUAAUUAGCAUCCGAACAUCUGAUGUGACCCUUCUAAACUAGUAUCUGAUGGCUGAUGUCAGGAUCUCUGUCGGACUGAAUAGUGAAUACUGACAUGUCAACCUUCGGGGGGGAGACAAUCCUGAAGACUGAUGCACAGCUCUGAACAAAAAUGCCUCGCUUCUCAUGCUGGCUAGUAAUAUCUUCUCAGGUUUUAACAAAAUGCAUAAAGCAAAAACCAUUGGAAUAUUCUUUUCGAAAAAAAAUCAUUGGAAUUGCUGGACAAGGAAUUUCAAGUUUCACAUUCUAACAUGUGAAAUAGUUUAUAUGAUACUGAUGAAGUUCGAUGGAGCGAGAGGGUGAAAGUUCAGUGUCCUGUGAUCAUUGGAUUCAUUGCCAGGACUCAACCGUCAGAGCAGUGAUUUGAAGUUGCAAACAUUGCUCACACAGAGUACCACAUCCAGAACCUCACAUAGCCGAGACACAUAGCGUGAUUCCCGGACUGCUGAGGUAACUGAAACAUUUUAGGAGCCGACAACCCAAAAUACAUAGCGUGACUCCCGGACUGAAGCUGAAGUAACUGAAUAUUUGAGAUGCUGACAACCCAAAAAUCGUUUCAUCAGCAAAGAUUUUUCAAUAAUAUAUGAAAACCCAUUAACACUAUUCUCUAUCUUCAGUCCUCCGCUCUUGUUAUUAACCCAUGAGCAUACAUGAGAAAGAUGGUUCUACAUAUGUUUGGCAUAGAAAUGCCAAGUACAUCAGUAUGAAAGUUUAGAAAUACAUCAUUAUGCAGUUAAAAGUACAACAUUUAAGGAUAUCUGAACAAAAAUGCCUGGCUUCUCAUGCUGUCUAGCAUUAUUUUCUCAGGUCUUAACAAAUGCACAAAGCAAGUUCUACUGGAAGAGCUGAACAAGGAGUUUGAAGUUUCAGAUUCUAACACGUGAAUCGUUUACAUGAUACUGAUGCAGUUCGGUUGAGCCCUAUGCAUACAUUUUUUUUUGAAACAGAGGGAAAAAAAUAUUCAACCCAAAUUUAAUAUAAUUGAGGAAAAAAUGGAACAAAUUUGCAGUGUCCAGCAUAGAUCACUGUCAGGACUCAACAAAAAUCAGGGCAACGAUUCGAAGUUGAAAACAAUGGUCACACUGCACCACAUCCAGAACCUCACAUAACUGAGAUACACAAUGCAACUCCCGGACUUAAGUAACUGAACAUUAGUUAAUGAGCGGACAACCCAGAAAUAGGAACCUGGAACCUAUCUUUCAUCAGUCAAGAUUUUCCAAUAUUACAUGAAACCAAUCGGCACUCCUCUCUAUCUUCAAACUUCAGUCCUCUGCUCUUGUUAUUAACCCCUGCGCACACAUGAGAAAUAUGGUCCGAUAUAUGUUUGGCAGAGAAACACCAAGUAUGUCAGUAAGAAUGAUGACAAAUACAUCAUUAUUCAGUUAAACAUACAACGUUGAAGGAUAUCUGAAUAUACUACUGGAACUCUAAUCUACAGUUUGAAUGUAUCCAGCACUAGGUUUACCAAGCGCGCAUGCUUCAAAAUUGAUAGUCUAAUGACUGCAUCAUAUACAAAAGAGCAUCAAGCUUAAGGCCUACAUGCAAGCUCGUCAGAUAGCAAUUGAUACAAUGCAACCAAUUAUCGAACAAAUUCAUCAUCAGAGUCAUCAUAAUCGCUGUACUCUUCCUCCUCACUUUCUACCUCCUCCAGAAAUGCAUUCAUGUCAGAAGAUUCUUCAGCCUCCAUUUCCUCAACUCCGAUUGUAUCAUACUUCAUGCGCUCAUCAAAUCUGGCAUCGGAACAGUUAAGAAGCCAUGCAAGGGAGCAAGUGAACCCCUUCCUGGACACCAUCUCAUGCCGAGGCCUCACAGUCGACUCAAGGCCAUAUGUGAAGAACGCAGGGAACUCAACCAGCUCCUCCAAAUCCCUCUCCAUCUCAUUCUUGAAGUACUCGAAGUUCAUCCUCAUAAUAUCCAUGUUCAGCGCGAGCAAUUGGGGGCACGCCACAACCAUCUUGCUCACUUGCGAGAGCAUAAAACCACAGGCUGUGAGAAAAUUGACAUGCUUCAGAACCGCAGUUCGUCCAAGGUUAAUGGCCUGUGGCAUCCUCUCGAUCACUCUCCCAAAAUCAUCAUGGCUGACCAAAAUGCUUGACUCGAACAAGCUCUGCUGUGUAACAAGCUUGUCCCUCAGCUCAAGUCCGAGAACAUCAGGGUACUGCAUCACAAUGGACGCUAGUGCCUCCUUCCUCACUCCAAACUCCAUCAGCGCCUCAAUGUUAGGCUUAACCUUAUCCUCUAAUCCAAACCCAAGGACAUAGGGCUUCUUCUCAAUUAUCCUUGCAGCAGAUAACCUCUGGACCCCAAUGCCCUCAAGGUAUUCGAUGAAAGGCUUUAUAAUCUUCCCCACCCGCAUGCCAAGCACCUCGGGAAAACGGGUUAUGACGCUGCCGAUCUGGCGCCUCGCGACGCCAAUGCCAACGAGGUAUGCGAUGGAAGUGCUCAUGGUUCCCUCGAGCUUGAAGCCGAGGAGCUCUGGGUAGCGCUCGAGCACGCGCGGCACGUCAUUGGGCCUGACGUCCAUCCCCUGGAGGUACUUGACGACGGGGGCGAGAUCGACGACGACGCUGGCGUGCAGCACCUGCGGGUAGCGACGGAGCAGGUCCGGGAGCGCGUCGCGGCGGACGCCGAGCUUGCCGAGGUAGUCGAGGACGGGGACCAUGUUCUUGCGCACGCUGCAGCCGAGCGCGAGCGGGUAGGCGGCGAGGUCCUCGCGGGUGAGGCCGAGGGAGGCGAGGAACUCGGCGCGUUCCCGCAUGACGUCGACGGUGACCGGUAGCUCGAAGCCCGCGAGCUCGCCCGGGUCCACGCCGAGGGAGGCGAGGAAGGCGUCGACGUCGGCGCGGCGGGCGGCGCGCUCGCGCUCCAUGUCGAGAAGGCUGGGGCGGGCGUAGAGGGAGGACGAGGGCGGGCGGCGCGACGGCGCGGGGCGGGGGGAGCGGCGGGCUGCGCGGGGCGGGGCGGAGGCGGAGGCGGAGGAGGAGGAGGCGCGGAGGCGGAGGAGGCUGCGGAGGCGCGGGGCGGGGAGGAGCGGCGGCGUGGGGUGGGUGGAGAAGAGGAGGGACUUCAUCAUUGGGACUUGGGAGUGGCAAGAGGUGAGCGAGGAGAAGAGGUUUGGGGGGACGAUGAGAUGGAGCCGCAGAGGAAGACAGGCAGCCAGAGGUGCGGCUGAGACCGCGAGUGCGAGACGGGUUGAAGAACGGGAGAUGACGCCCCGGGUGAUUUUUUUUUUUAGUAAAGUCCGUUAGCUUGUGUCAUUCUUGUUUCCGAACUCGCAAAUUGCAGAUUAACUUCCUAAACUUAUAGGUAUCAUCCCAAUCUCUAAACUCGAAAACUGCUGAUUUAGACUUCUAAAUUUAGUUUAAGGUGUUAUCUCGAUUUCAGAACUCGCAAACAUGAACAACAAAGCUAUGAACUUAGCUUUGGCAUCCAUGCAUAAAUGGAUCCGAGUGAAAGUAUGAAGCCACAAAACAUUCAGAUUGAGCUCUGCUAGUUGUGUAUGCAAUAUCAUAAGCUAUGGAUGCAGUUUUGGCAAGUAUAAAUGGACGGAACGGGUGAAAGCAUUCUAGAACCAAGGAUGAUCUUGGCAACUUAAUCUUUUUUUCACCGUGCUUUUUAGAUUUAGGGCGAAACUCAUGUUCUCGCCCUUUUGAUUAGGUACACAACAAGUGACAUAUUACUGUAGAAAUUUAUGUAUGGACUAUGGAUGGAAGAGAUAAGAUGGACUAAGUUUGUUCGGUCAUUUAUGGAAAAACUUGUAGGUGCAUAGCAUGCAUUUUGCCUCACUUAGUAAUCAGCAUAGACACAAUUACACGAGGGUUUUUUUAUUGAACAAAUAUAGAAGUUAAAUAUGUAUCAAUACACUUCGAAAAGUGCCUGCUUGCGAGUUUGAGAUCAAAAUGACACCAGAAACUAUGCUUGAGAGUUUGAGAUCAAAAUGACACUAGAAACUAAGUUUAUGAGGCUAAAUCUGCAAUUUGCAAGUUUAGGCACCGGAAUGACACCCGAAGCUAAAUUUAGGGAGCUAAAUAUGCAAUUUGCGAGUUUAGGGAUGAGGAUGACACGACGUGACAAGUUUGAGGAUCGUUUAUGGAAUUUACUCAUUUUUAUAUAUAAACUUUAAAAAAUUGCUUUUGCUAGAUAAUCAUAAUCAAUCAUAUUCUAAUGACUAAAAAGAUUGCACGGAGUCUUAUAUUAUGCGUUUGUAGGAAGUAAAUAUUUUACGGUAAUGGGCGUCCGAUGUCUAUAAAAAAAAUCGGACAUCCCAUUAUUACUAUGGAUGUUGCUGUAGAAAUUUUUAGAUGUGUCUUUGUUGCGAUAGGUAUGAGAUGAUGUUGCAGUGGAAAUUGCACUCCAACCUCAGCGAUAAAUGUUACGUGAAAAUUCUUUACACAUAUCUUAUUACGAUAGGCAUGCAAUAAUGUUCUAAAGAGAUUUUCAUCCAAAUUGUGUUGUGGUGACAAAUAUUGAAUGUUGCAAUAUCGCAUAUUGAAUGUUGCAAUGUUAUAUAUUGUGUCUUUCCGUUACAUGCCGCCAAAAAAUGUAAAUUUUGUUUAAAUUUUUAAUAUGAUUUUAGUGUGUUGCAACUGUAGUUGGAAAUGUUCCAAUUAUAAUUUUUAAAUGUUGCAAAAGGUAUGCGUCGAUGUUGAAAACUUUAUUUCUACGUGACGUCACUCAUUAUGGAUGUUGCAUGAAACAAUAUGUCAUGUUGCGGCGAAAAUUUUCUAUACUAGGUUGGAUGACCAAGUCAUUUUUAUACAUAGUUUUUAAUGUUGCCAACGGUGAUUUCUAGUGUUGUAGCAAUUCAUUUUUAUUUUUGCAAUGUAGCGUCCGAUGAGAAACAUCUAACCGGAGCGCUAAUAUCUCCGAAUAUUUUAAGUACAUGUAUGUUUAGCUACAAACCAGCGACUUCUUUUUUCCUUGCCAACACUAACAGAAAUAAACACCCCAAAAAGUAUAUAAAUUUUUUAACCAGCCAUAUAUUUUGGGUGUGGGUAUUAACCUUGUGACCUUAGCUCAAAUUGAAGUGUCAAAAUAGGUUCCUCGUAAUCCCAUCCCUCCUAUUUCUCUAUUCCCCUAUGUUCCUUGCAUGUACGAGGACAUUAAGGGCUAGUUUGGCCACGCUCCUUAGGGCUCCGGCUCCUGCACCAUAGUGUGUCAGGAGGCCUCAGGAGCCGGAGCUGAAGGAGCCAUAAUUUGUGGCUCUUCCGGUGGCUGUGGGAGGGAGGAAGACUCGGGUAAACAGUAUCACUACAGUAGAUGAACAAUGAUACAUCAGAAGGAGCCGGAGUUCGAAGGAGUUGUGCCAAACUGUCCCUAAAUGAUGGGCAGCUUUGGUGUUCCAUGUACGAUGACAGUUUACAUUAUUGAGCGGAGGUGCAAGUAGCGGAGGCCGGCAUAAGACAGGCGCGAGGAAGGGAAGCAAACUAGUACAUAUUGUAUUUAUAAUUAUAAUUACACAAUGGGUAAAUAUACAUCAUGGUAGUUUGAAAUUGCUGGAAGGUUGAUUGUUAGAUUGUGGAAUAUUGGAGGGACACAUUGUAGAAUUAGAGAAAAAAGGUUGCACUCUAGGAAAUUAGAAAGUGUGGUAAGAAAGAGAAGUGACACCAGCUCAGUUUAGUCGGGAGAUGUGCAAAGGCUUUUCAAACCACUACCUACGGAUCAGACCUGAGCAAACCUUGGACCGGACUGGGCUAGCAAAAAGGCCGGUUUUAUUUGAGCCUAAAAUCUUCACCCAAACUUGCCCAUUAACUCCACCGGGCCCAAUUCAGGCUGGGCUCGGGCUAGGGUCGAGCCGUCCAUCAUUUGUUAGUGUAAAUUUAAUUUAUUUUAUUAUUUGGGUUGGGCUCAGGUCCACCCAUUUUUUCGGGCCACGAAAAUUAGCGCCACGUCUGGUCCUAAAUGAGCACGGAUCGGGCUUAGCCCGUCGGGCUCAGGCUGGGCCUAUUUUGCUCAUGUCUACUCUGGACAUUAAAACCUACCAAAGGGAGGGCAUGCAAAGAGGCGCGGAAGGUCGUGCAGACACUCCUGUCAAAUUCGCUAAUAGCUUGAUCGACAAUGCUCUGUGUACAUCCGUCAUGUAGGCAACGCUCUGCAUGGUGAAGUUUUGAUCUUUACGACGAAGCCUUUGUACAUGGCACUCUCUCAUUUUUUGAACACCCUUUUACGCAAGCAAUCCAGUUGUUAUCAUUCCCUCUUCUUGGUACCCGUCACCAUAGUCCACAAGAGGCAUAUUUGGUCUAACGAUUCAUUAGUAAUGAUCAUCCAAUCCAAAUAAAUUGUGGUUUUUGUGAGCAACAAAAGGAAGUAAAAAAAGAGCAUAAUUUUAGUAUGACUCACGAGCCCUACCAAAGGUGUCAUCUACAAUAUCAAUUUUUUCACUGAAUUCACUAUGUGAUAUAUUUUGAUAGUGCAUAUAUUUGGUAGUAUAGCUGUUGUUAUUUUUUUUAUAAAUUUGAUCAAGUUUGAGUUAAGACAAAUCUAACGUGACAUGUAAAAAACCUUGAGGGAGUAUAUAGAAUAGACAUUGUCAACCUUUUACUACUCUAACCAUUGAAAGAACAUCACAAUGAUAAAUUAAGCAUAUAGUGUAACAAAAACACACAUAUUAUUACAAUUUUAUAGUGAGUAAAACUUUAUAGCAAUGGUGAACAUAUAUACAUAUAACACUCUUGAGUUUAUUCCUAGGUCAAUUUAUUGGGCCGCCGGACCCGAGCUGAACUCGGGCAUUUUUUUGAACUGGGCAAUUUUUGGCCCAUUUGCGGCGGCAGUGUGAUUUCAGAAAUGCGAAAUCCCCGACCGCCACCGUGCUCCAGCCUCCACUCCGGACCAGCAGGCCGCACCUGACAUGUUCGCCUCCAUCUGCCGGCGGCGGCUCCUCCGCCUCCGGCAAAUUCCCUCCGCCGCCGGCACAAACCCCAGCUGGCCCAACCCCAUCGACGCCCCCCUCUCCCACGGCCACUCCGCAGCUGCCCUCGCGGGCGCCACCGUCUCCGAGCCCUGCCCCAUCACCGUCUCCUACCUGAUCUCCUGCGGACUCUCCCCCGCCGCCGCGGCCGCCCACAAGCUCCGCAUCCGCUCCACAGACAGGGCUGACACCGUCCGCGCCCUCUUCCGCAGCUAUGGCUUCACCGACGCGGAUAUCACCGAGAUGGUCCGCCGAGACCCGCGGAUUCUCACCCUCGACCCCGACCGGAUCCUCCGCCCUAAGCUCGAUUUCUACGCCUCCCUCGGGGUCCAGCCCCGAAAGCUCGCCACCACGCCGCUAUUUGUCACGCGCAGCCUCAACAAGCAUCUCGUCCCCUGCAUCCAGUUCCUCCGCGGCAUCCUCGGCACCGACGGCAAGGUCUGCCGAGCGAUCUCCCGCAAUCCAAGCGGCCUCACUCAGGCUGACCUGGAUAAGAACAUGCGCCCCGCCGUAGACACGCUCCGCCGCCUCGGGCUCCCCGAGGAGUCCAUCUCGAAGCUCCUCACCAUUGAACUGGGUGUGCUCAGGCUUUCUCCCGACCGGAUGAGCCAGAUUUUCGAGGACCUCAAGUCGCUUGGCCUGGGCGUGACGGACACGGGCUUGCUCUACGGCAUCCGCGCACUCUCCUGCAUCAGUAGGGAGACGUGGCUGCGAAAGGUGUCCCUGUACAAGAGCUUCGGGGUGUCUGAGGGUGAGCUGCUGAAGGCGUUCAAGACACAGCCCACGAUGCUUCUCUUCUCCGAUGAGAGCAUUAAGAAGAAGCUCCGCUUCUUGCUGGAUGAGCUGAAGCUUGAACUAAGUGAAGUAAUGAGGCUACCUGUGGUAAUAAGUUAUAGCGUGGAGAAGUGCAUCAUACCAAGGUGCGCAGUGCUGAGGGUGUUGAUGAGGGAGGGGAAGAUUGAGCCCAACAUCAAUUUACUUUCAGCAUUGAUUGGUAGUGCCAAGAUUUUCUCCAAAAGGUAUGUAUUGAGGUAUGCUCACGAUGUGCCGGAUGUUGUCAAGGCAUAUGAGGGUAAGAUUGCAUUUGAAGGAUUCAGGGAUCGGGAUGUUUUAGUUCCACUGAAGCCUUCAGGCUAAUCUCAGUAGGGUUAAAUCAAAUGGUCAGGCAGCAUGUUUCCAAUGCCAUUGAGAUCAAGGCAUGCUAUAUCAAUGGCACUGUUUCGUUGUGCGAUGUUAUUUCUGGCUAUUUUUAACUCAACCAUCUUCAUAGUCUUCAUAGCAUCUGCCAUUUUGUAGCCUCUGGCCUAACAAAUCUAGAAACAUAGAUCUUAUGUUAUCGAAGUAACUUAAUCUGGUAAGUUGAAUUGGUGCAUUCUGGUUGUUUAUGCCUUUUGAAGCUCUUUCAAUAAAAUUAUGAUUUUGAAAUAUGUCGCUGGAAUGACUUUAGUGCUUCUUUUACUAUCUGGAUGAAGACUCUGUGUUCCUUUCUAAUAUGUAAAUUUUUCAUCUAUUAACAUCUGAGAAGAUCCCAAUUUUGUUGAUCCUUGUGAUGCAAAGUGUUCAUGUACAGAAUUGUUGAGCAUUUAGAAGUGAAAGCUUUUAUGCUUUGUUUAAACUUUACAAAAGGGUUCUUGUGGGUUUGAUCCACUUGAGCCGCCGUUAUACUUGUGUAGUUUGUGUUUAUAUUGGUGAUAUUAUAUACAAAAAUGCCUGUUAUAGAUGAGGCUCUUAUCAUUGUGAGUUACGGUGCCACGAACUUAAUUGUAAGCUGGAUAGAUGACCAUUCUGGAGAUAAAACUGAUGGAUUUGCUUUUGGUUGCAUGCUUUCAUUACAUCAACAACAUCAGAAAACACUUGUAUUGGGAAAUACAGAAUGGUAACAAACAUCUAUUGACAUAAGGACCUCUUUUAUAUAACCUUGCUUAUGAUGAAUUUUAAGAGUGCAGACUUAAUGGUUCUUAUUAUGGAUUUGAUGUACUUGUUGAAUUGUUAUGAAAUGCUUAUUCCAGAAUGAGACCCACUUCUUGGAUUUUACAGUACCACCUGCCCUGGGAGCUGACCAAUUUCCUUAAGGUUGCAUUAUAUCAACUAUUUAGGGACAAGUUCAUUGGGAAAUACAAAAUGAUCACAGAGUGCUAUCGACAUUAGGACCUAAAGAAUGCCUAUGAGUCACAGCUCUCAGUUUUUUUUUUGAACCACCAAAUGACUUGAGUAGCUUCCAAAUUUUUAGUGUUGAGACAUUGCUGGAAUUCUGAUAUCUAUGAGUGAAUGCUAUCGUUGAGGUUGGGAGAAAAAAGGUUCUACUGCCGUGUCUUAGCCUCCUGUGAAUCAAUGGGAGGUGAAAAGAAGGGUUGAAGGAUUGACACAGGAUUACCCAACUAUUUGUUUUCUCCAAGCGCCCACCAGAUUUUGCUUCUAGGAUGGAGCUUGUGGUUCAGAGUCUGCCAAUCUAUAUUCCUUUGAGUUGUUUUGGAAAUUACUUAGUGACUUGUCAACCAGUUCUUAAGAAACUUGCUCAAAGUUUGGAAAUUUCCUUAUUCAUAAGAAGUUCGGUUGGCCAAAUUAGAUGAAAUGCCCAUUUGGUUUGGAGUCUGAUGGGGCAAUCUAUAUUCCAUUUUUUGUGGGUGUCAGUUAUUCGUGUUGUUACUGUAAGUGUUACCUGGUCUUGUUACAGAAAGUAAUGCUGAUUCUUUUUACUGGAAGUCUGCACUUUCUUUACCUGGAGCUCAUUGAUGCAGCCUGCAAGGAACUUGAGGCACUUGUCGUGCCCAUCACAGACUGUUUGGUUUACAGGAAGGUGGCACUGUACCAGAGCUUCGGGGUGCUGAGGACUGAGGGUGAGCUGUUUAAGGAGUUCAAGAUGCAGCUAAUGGUACUGCUCAUCUCUCAAGAAACAUAGAAAAGUUCUGAUUGUUCUUUGAGGUGAUGACUCUUGAAGUUUGCGAGGUUACAGGGCGAACUGUGAUUAUAGUGAAUAGCUUGCAGAAGAACACCAUGCCAAGGUGCUCUGUCUUGAGCAUGUAGAUGGAGUGGAAGAUUAAGCAAAAUACAAUGUUGCUUCAUGCAUUGAUCUGGGCUUGUAAGAUCUCUGAGAGGUAUGUGUUGAGGUAUGCCCGUGAUGUGCCACAUGUUGUCAAGGCAUAUGAGGGUAAACUUAAAUUCGAAGGAUUCAGAAAUUCGGAUGUUUUGAGUUUCAGAUCUUCUAGAAUGAAAUCACUAUUUGUUUGGUGUUUAGCCUCUAAUACAAAUACUACAUUAGUCAUAUUGUUAAUCUAACACUGUUAAUUUUGAUAUUUUACUUAAUUUGUUGGAUCAUCAACAUUCGCAGUUCAGCUCUUUUGCCAUUGUUGGAUCAUCAACAUGUCUUGUACAAAUCUAGGAAUGCAGGCACUGUGAUCUUGCCAGAACUCUGCUUUGUCUAGUAUGUUGAACCGGUUCAUUCAGUCAUUCUAGUAUUGUUAGGACAGUUCUUUGAUAUGCAAUGAUUCUGUGAUAUCCUCGCUAAAAAAAGACCGAGUUUGUGAUGUAUUGAUUUUUAAAACGUUCUUCUACUGCUUAGCUGAUAAAUCCCCAUUUCGUUGGGAAUUGUCACUUUUGAUCUGUUCCAAAAGGUAUUGUGCACUCUUUAAGUCUGGAUAUAAAUUAUUGACGUGCCCGUCUCCAAGAUGUAAUGUUCAGAGUUGAGGAUUUAAAGUUGUCUGUUCAAUCAAACUCUGAUGUUAGUACUUACGCACAGAAUAUUGUCCACCUCCAUCCAGUUUUUAUUUUAGGACUCGUAAGAUUUCAUAUCUGCCAGCUGUACUCAGUCCACCAGGAUGGUAGAUUUGUAGGUGGGGAAGAUUGUGGUAGAUUUGUAGGUGGGGAGGAUUGUAAGAUUAAAAACCUGAAUGGUAAUACAGAGACGCAACGAAUGGUAAUACAGAGAUGAAAGGUUUAGAUAGGUUCGGGUCUCUGAAGAGUAAUACCUGUUCUGGUGGACUGUAUCGCUGGUAUGGGAUGCGAAGAAUUCAGAUGGGAUGAGUUGAAGUGAGUUACCCUCAGGGGUGUUCUUGGUCGCUUUAUAUAGACUGACGACCUAGGGUUACAAGUCGGAUAGGAUCUAAUUCGCGCUGUGCUAAAAAAAGGAAAAAAAUUGAAGCUUCCAUAGGCGUAUGACCAAAUGCACAUGGCUAUGCGACUGCCGAGCUUCGAGAUGUCUGGCAUCUUGUAGAUCGAAGGGAAGCACAUGGAGGGUGUUGCAAGACGCACUCCAUACGGAGUAGCCCCCGAGCGUUGAAGUGAUUAAAGUAAUCGGUCCAAUGGUCAAGAAAAUGAUAUAUUGUUUCCAUAGCAAAACGAAUCUCAAUACAGCGCCCAACCCCUCGAGUGCGCAGACUAGCGGAGCCACGGAGGUACGCCGACCUGAGAUAGCCAUCUCGCCCCGAGCGUGAGGACUGGUGGAGCCACGCCGACAUGAAAUAGGCGCCCAGCCCCCGAGCACGAGGACUGGCGGAGCCACGCCGACCUGAAGUCUGUGGCGCUCAACCCCCAAGCUUGAGAGUCGGACGAGCCGCGAAAGCACGCCAAGUCACCUCCCGCACCCAGCCCUCGAGCCUGGGAGGUCGCUGGGUGGCAUGAGGCAUGCCGAGUCAUCCGUAGCGUCCAGCCCCCGAGCUUGGGAGCCGGCCGAGUCGUCUCCAGCGCCCAACCCCCGAGCCUGGGAGCCGUCCGAGCGGUGAAAGCACGCCAAGUCAUCUCCCGCCCCGAGCCUGAGAGGUCGGCUGAGCUGUAGGAGGCACGUCGAGUCGCCUUCCGCACCCAGCCCCCGAGCUUGGGAGGUCGGCCGAAUGGCAGGAGGCUCGGUCGCCUCCUACGCCCAGCCCCUGAGAUUGGGAGGUCGGCUGAGGGCCAGGAGGCAGGUCGAGUCGUCUGUGGCGCUCAGCCCUCGAACCCGGGAGUCGAACGAGCUAUGGAAGCACACCAAGUCACCUCCCGCACCCAGCCCCCAAGCCCGGGAGCCGGACGAGCCAUGAAAGCACGCCAAGUCACCUCCCACACCCAGCCCCCGAGCCCGGGAGCUGAACAAGCCACGGAAGCACGUCAAGUUGCCUCUCGCACCCAACCCCCAAAGGUUGGCCGAAAACGGGAGGCACACUGAGUAGUUUUCGGAGUUGUGAAAGCACAAUGCAAAGAUCAUGUAGCAUGACGUAGAGCAUUUAAUAAUUGAAUAACUCGGAGUUUUAUUUGGCAUAGAAGUAAAUUCUUGCGCAUCCUCUCUUGUAUGCCAUGUAAUUUCCUUAAGUAAUUAGCCUGUUAUGUUUAAGCAGCUAGCCUUGCUUAGCUAGCAGUUUGCUGAGAGUGGAUCUCGAGCUUGUAGACGGGGCAUCACAAGAUGAGUCGAGGUUUCACGGAUUAGAGCGUGUGUUACCCAAGUACUUUAGCAACCGUUAAGAGAGACGGACAAACCGUAAAGCAGUUGGAACUAUGCGGAAAAGCAAAGAGCGUGCGUUGGGCACUCACAGUGCGCAACCCUCGAUUGCCUGUGUAGUGGACGGACCAAUCUGUAUAAACAGUUGGAGAUGUGAUCAGGGUGAUGGGCGAAAGUCGCAGAGAUAUAAAAGAAUUGAGGUAUGUGAAGAUAUACGGAAGCUGUAAAAUGUUUAAUUGAAUAUAUGACUUAGUUUGAUUUCGUGGCUAAGUCGGAGAAUAGGCGGGGUUCGUCCAUGAAGCGUGGUUGCCGUCGGGCACGUCGCUGGCAAGUCGCCAGCAGGCUUGGUUGAUGCCGAAUCGCUGCUGUCUCUCAGUCGUUAGAACGUUUGCCGGCCAUCUUGUGUCUAAGGUAGCGCGAGCCCAUCUUUGCCGCGCCACAGCUUUAUACAUUCGUCCGUACGUCGAUGAUCCCAGGUGCCCUGGUACCUGAUUCGAUUGCAGACAAAAACAUUGGCCAAUGCAAUGCAAUGGAACGCUCAUUGGCCAAUGGAAAUAAUUAGAGUACAACUGGCCGAUUGAACUUAAGAAAGAAAAUCAGAGAUAUGCUCCCUGUUUCACGUAUGGUCUUUGUAGAUUGAUUUUGUAGGUCGCAUUUAGACGAGCGCGGAGUCGACGCCGAGGACAGAUGAGUUGGUCCGGAUGCCUCAGCCGACGUAGAUGGGGUCCUGGGCGGUGGCCGGCUUGGUACUUGCCCCAUCCUCGGUGCGUAAUCGUCGUGGCGAAUGGCGCAUGAAACCAGGCGGUACUCGAUUGGAGAGAGAAAAGCCGUAUGCACCAAUUGUAAAUGAGAGAUCGAUAUACUGCAAAAUUGGACCGACCUAAUUCCAAUUCGUAGAACGACUCACCCGAUUAGUACUGCCAUCAAGCUCACUAGGAGGAUUCGGCGAUCACUCCUACCCAAUCCACCAACUAUCGGAUUUAGUGACCGAAAGUGCAUCAGGGGUUACCCAAGUGGUAGAUUUGUAGGCAGGGAAGAUCGUAAGACCAAAAACUCGAAUGAUAAUACAGAGACGCAAGGUUUGGACAAGUUCGGACCUCCGAAGAGUAAUGCCCUACGUCCUGUGUUCUGGUGGAUUGUAUUGCUGGCAUGGGAUGAGUUGAGGUGAGUUACCCUCAGGGGUGUCCCUAAUCAUCUUAUAUAGGCUGACGAUCUAAGGUUACAAGUCGGACUAAUCCUAGUCGGUGGCUACAUGAAAAAUAAUCUGAGUUGGACAACAACAAUUAUCCCGCGAUAUUCAGACUGAAUUGAUUUAUGCAGCCAAUGGUCCGAUGAAUGGUCCAUCAACUUCCUAUUGAACUGCAGGCCCAUUAUGCCCAUUGUCAUCAGCAGGCCCAAUUGGCCACUAUCCCCACUUAUUUCCAUUGCCCUGAACAUUCUCAUUAGCAUUUGCAUUGCUCUAAUCCUGCACAUUACCAUUCACCUGACCAUCCCUGCCCAUUAACAUUCAUAUUUGGCGAUCCAUUCCUAGGCUGCCCAAAACCAAAGAAUUGAAAGAGAUUUGGCUGUAUUUCAUCGGGACUAUGAGGCUGAGAUCAGAAGGAGCACCUCCCAACAUGGUUGCUUGAAAAAUCUCACACUGAGUUGUCUAGGAUUCACCCUCAAAACCCUCACCAUCAGAGCAAACAAUAAACUAAGGAAUUUCCUCCAGAUUAACCACUCUUGCUUUGACUAAAACCCUUGCUAAAUGAUUAAAGGUUUUACAAUAUCCUUAUGGGUCCAGAAAUCAUUAUUGAAUCCAAGAAGCAUAAGCCAGACUUCAUAAUUCAUGUUAACAGACUUAUUAUUCCAACCUUUAGUAUGCUCCACAAAAAAAAUUCUCGUAUCACCAUUGUUAUGUGGGCUACUUGCAAUCAAGAAAUCCCUAUCAUGAAAAUGAUUGAAGCGAACAAAGGCCUUACCAAAGGGCAUGGCUGAAUAGUGCGAUAGCCUAAACGCUUUUGAUUCCUUAGAAAAUCAUCGAACACUUCCCUAACAGAGUGGAAGGAUACCUGUUGUUCUGGAAGAGGCUCGAUCAAAGCAAUGGCGAGGUCACUGUUCCUGUCGCGGAGGCCGCCCAAAACGACCCUGGACAUCACCUUCCUAUGCGGAAGCAUCACUCGAUUGCAGUUUGGGGGCAUGAAUGGUGCAUGGUCAAUAAACUUGUAGGUCGUGAUUGCCCCGUGACAAUCGGAAUCUGCCAAAGGGGUAGGUAAUGUAGCAACGAUUAGGGUUUUCUCGGUGGCGGUGGGAGGCUGUGUAGCUGUUGUGGGGUCUGUUCGCUUCAGCUUAUAAGCCGGCUGAAAAGCUGAAACGGCUGAUUUGUUGUGAGAGGAAAACACUGUUUGGUGGCUGAUAAGCCGGCUGAAUAAGCUGAAGCGAAUAGGCCGGUGGAUAGUUGAUCAGAAGCGUGAUGCGAUGAGAAUGUAGCUUGGAUGCGGACGCUUGAGGCUAGCCGAAGCUCAAGGUCAUCAUUGCAAGGCAAGGCUGGAGGCGGAUGUGCUGCUGACGGAGCCGGCGAGGAAGAGAACUGGGGCAAGGUAGGCGAAGGGGCAUUCACUACCAAAGAUGAAGGGUCGGCCGUCUCAGGGCAGAAAUCGUCCCCAAACAAUUGACCGGUGCCAUUGACAAUUGGGACCCCAAAGAGCAUAACCUCAUCUGUCAUAUGCUGCUUGGACUUGAACCACCCUGCCGGAUUGGUGUGCCUCCACUGCAUAGGAUCAAUUUGGGAAGAGAAACCCUUUGCCGCAGCAGGAUCAGAUGCUCCACAAAGCAAAGAUGGUGUGCCUCCCCUGCAUAGGACCCUGAAGCAUGUGGAGCAUCUGAUCCUGCUGCGGCAAAGGGUCCUAGAGUGCGAAUUGGAAAAACACCUGAAGCAAGUUUGCCAGCCCACGACCCUUCCUGCCAUAAAGCCAAAUGAUUCUUGAUGAGCCACAUUAACUCCAGGGGCGCGAUUUGAGGGCCGGGAGCUAGGCAGAAAAGAAGGCCCAAGAUUGAGGCUCACAUCAACGCCAUUUGAAUUUGAAUUACUCAAUUCCCCUGUGUUCUUCGUUUAUUUCAUAUUUUUGACAGUCCCAAAAGAACUACGAAGAUCCGAAUCACUGAUGUUCCGAAAAUCCAAUUUGGAAAAAGCUGAAAUUCUCUUCUUCAUAGGGACACAAUUUGCACCAGUUAAAGGAGCAUCACUUUUAACUGCCUCAAUAAAAGAUUUAGUCCUCUUUUUAGGACCGAUUUCAACCCAGUGGAAAUUAGGCCCCCGAUCAGUGAGAACAGAAGAUCUAGCCACAGAUAAACCUUUUUCAUUCCAGAGAUGGAAGAAAAUCUUGAAAGUCGGACAAGCAAAGGACUUAAGAUCAUACACCAAAACACCAACAGCCUUGGGGGAGACACUGAAUUUGAAAAUGCCAUCUUCCAAUUCCACAACACAGAAAAGCUUCAACAAACCCCCAAGAACAGAUUGCAGAAUGCAACCAACAGAAGAUUCCAAAAGCUUAAUCCUUGAACGACUAAAAGCCGCAAUUAACCAGAAGUUGUCUAUCUCAUCCGGAUGAGAGGAAACCACCAAACCGCUAGUUUGAGUUCGUACCUUUGAUGAAAAAACGUGGCCCGGUUCCUGAUCCAGGAUAGAAGAAUCCAUGGGACGUCAGGGGAAAGACAGGAGAGCAAUAGAGAGAGAGAGAGAUGAACAUCGGGAGGAGGGUGGACGCCGGACCGGGUGGUCACCGGCGGUGGGAGGACCUGGAGGUUACUAGGGGGAUGAGAGUAACAUUUUAGCAACUUGUUGAAAACAUUUUAGUUUUCAAAACCUUGUGAAAGUUGUGAUUGUGUGAGUAUAUUCCAGCAUUCCACGCUGCAAAAGCUCUUGAGAGUGGUAUUUGGUUUCUUCGAUGUCUGAUGUGCUAGCUCGGUUCUCCUGUCCGAAAAACCGUAAGAAAAAAAAAGCCUAUUCACCUCCCUCAAUUCUCGUGGGAGUACAGUAUGUAUUUUAAUUUGUCCCUCAACUGUAAGGGCAUGUUCAACAAUUGAGACAGCUGCUGUCUAUAAGUGUUUUGAAAAUCGUAGACAGACUGAUAAUUGCUUUUUUUUGCCCUUUCAUUAGGUUUGAUGAAUGUGUCAUAGUAUUAAAUCCUUUAUUUUUGGGACAUAUCCACAACUGAGGUACCAGUCCAUAGGUACCAUCAGCAAGUUAAUUAUAUAGGAGUAAAGUGAAAUGGCUUAAUGGCUAUCAAGGAUUACAGUAAAACUAUAUGGCUUUUCAAGGUCCCUAUGCCUGUUAAAAUAGUUUAGGGCAUCUAUAGUAACUUGUUAACAGCAUAAAAGAUUGAAAAAAUUGGAUCCAAAACUAGACCGUCAGAGAUUUGGACUUAGGUCAACAAAAUAACUGCAGAGCCUGUACAAAAAUAAAUGCAGAACACAAAAUGCUAAACUGUACAAUAAAGGGUGCAACCAGUGGGAAACCGCAAAAUACAGAGAGACGUGUGGAAGGAAAAUUUGACACUAGAGAUAAAAGACAUCUCUCACUCAGCGUACCAACAGAAAGCCUUAUGGAUCUACCACAAUUCAAGAAUCAUUUUGUAUGAAGAACAAAAGAGGCCUCCCUGCAGCAUUUUCAAGGAUUUAUACAAAAGAGUUAACAGGUGAACAUAUCAUACCUACGAAUUAACAGGCUUUGCAGAACAAAUGGAGGACCACCCCAGGCUGCCAGACAUGAAGGACCUCAGCUAGUCAGCUCUAAGCAUAAUGCAAGAUAGUGCUACUGACAUUCUCUUUAUAAACACUGGAAUUAUAUGGCUGAUUGGCAAGUGCAUUCAAUAAAAAUGAAGUACAUUUGCGGAAACGAAGAUCAAGCUACCUUCAACAAAUGACAACAUCAUGAAAGCAUAUGGGUUUCAAGACUUGACGCCAUUGAAUGUAAAAUUCCAAUGGCUUAACACCACAUUUAUAACUACAGAGAUAUUGAGUCAAAUGGAUAAGAUUCUGACGUUAGACAAUGUAGAAUUAUCCUAACAUUACAAGCAGCAUCUGCCUUACCUACAGUGAUGUUACACUAAAUGACUGAUGCUUUGGCUAGUGGAACUUCAAUAUCAUCGUCCAGGAACCCUUUGAAUUUGAUCUUCCCCUCGUAUGCCCUAACAACAUCUGGCACGUCCUUCUCAUACUUCUCCACAUAGCUUCUAAAGAAAUCCUUGCUAGAUGCACGUAAAGGAGAGUACAGACUUAUGUCUCCCCGGAUCUUCCCUUCCCUCAUCAGCACGUUAAGAACAGCACAUUUAGGGAGGAUAUUCUUCUCCAGGCUCAAUGACAAUAAUUUCGGCCAUGCAAUCACCUGAGACAGAGCAAUCUUCAACUUGUCCCGGAAGAAGAGGAGCUUCCUCCGAAUCAUCUCAUCACUAAGCUCCAGUAACGGCGGCUGACUUCUGAAUGCCCCAACAACCUGGCUUUGAGAAAGCCCAAAGCUCUGGUAAAGCGCCAACCGACGCCAUCCUGUCCCCCUCUUGAAGUUGCACAUUGAAGAGAAGCACUUGACAAAGCAGGAGUCCGUCAUGGGCAGACCAAGGGCAUCAAGGUCCUCAAAGAUGCCGGCAAUGCGGUCGGGCGCCAAGCCGAGAACGCCCAUCUCUUUGAUGAGGAGCUUCGAGAUGGCCUCCUCGGAGAGACCGUGGCAGCGGAGGGUUUCCACGGCGGGGCGCAUAUGUUUCUCGAGGUCGAACCGGAAAGGCGUAGGGUAUGUGGGAGAUCGCAUUCGGAUGCCGGCGUCCGUGCCGAUGAUGCCGCGGAUGAAGUUGAUGCAGGGUACGAGAUGAUUAUCGAGGCUGCGCAAGAGGUGGUUUGUCUGGGUAAGAGCUGUGACGCCGACGCCUAGCGAGUCGAAGAACUCGAGCUUGGGCCGGAUGAUCUUUAUCGGCGUCAAGUAUUAGGAGAUCCGGGGAUAUGCUGAGCAACCGGGCGAUGUGGGCAUCGGAGGAGCCAUGGCGGCGGAGGAGGGCGAGUACUGCGUCCGCGUUGGCAGUUAAACGGAUGCGCCCUCGGGCGACGAGGGCGGCGGCGGUGGCGAGGGAGAGGCCGCAGGAGGCGACGAGGUAGGAGGCGGCGUCCGGAUCGGGGGAUCUCGCAAGGGGCACCGUAGAGUAGUAGGGAUGGAGGAAGCGGGCGGUGUGGGGCUGGGACUGGAUGGGACUUGUGCCGCCGUCUACCGCUGCGGUGGUGCCGCGGAUGAGGAGGGCGAGCCGCCGGCCGCCGGUUGAGGGAAACAUGCCGGGGUUCUGAAGGAGUGGCGGCGGCGCUGAGGAAGUGGAAAGCGACACUGGAGUGGAGUAGUGGGCGCAGGCGUCCAACUGGCCUCGAUUUUUUUUUUUUCGAAAGGACCUCGAAUUGUUGUUUGGGCUCGUUUUGAGAAGAUUUGGUGUUUGGAGCUUCAAAUGAUAUUUUUACUACUUGCAUUUUCGUAGUACCUGCUAGCUAUAAUUAGUUUAUUAGUAUUGUUUUUUUUCAGGACAUUGAGUUUAGUACACGCAGUCUUGAAGGAAUUUUAAUGACUUUUGUCAAAUUUUUGUAAGUUCCUACUUGAUUGCUAUUUUCAAAGUAAAAGAAAAACUACAUUUUAAGGGUAUGAACCACAAGAUGCAAUUCGGGUAAGUACAAAAAAUAUGCCUAAUGAAUACUAGCAUCCCUCAAGCUUUUCUUGACAUUUAGCAACGAUUUGUGAAACCUUAUCCAACAAAUUACAGAAAAAAAAAA